GCUGAUGGACGACGCGAUGGUGUAGCCGAUGGCGACGCCGACGAGGUUGGCGUACUGGAUGCAGCCACAGAAGGCGACCCUGGCGCCGCCGAGGUUGGACCGGACGGCGUCCAUGUAGGUGUAGUUGCGCUUGCCCGUGUCCGGGUCGCCGGUGCGGUAGCACUCCGCGAGCAGCGUGGCGGUGUAGUAGGUGACGAAGGCGAAGAGCAGCAUGGCGGCGGGGCCGGCCACCCAGCCGAGCUGCGCGAUGGCCCAGGCCAGGGAGAGCACGCCGGAGCCGAUCACGGCGGUGAUGAUGUGCGCGCUCGCCGUCCAGAACGUGCCGGUGCGGCGUGGCCGCCCGUCGUCGUCGAGAUACUCGGCCGCGUCGCCGUUCCCGGCCUCCAUGGAGACCUCCAUCGGCGGUAGGUGCUUGGUGGUGCCGCCGUUGUGCGACGCCAUCGCCAUGUGGGUACGGUCGUCUACAACUGGGAGCUCGCUGGAGCAGAGGAGACCGGCGGCCGGACACAGAGGAGAAGAAGGAGAGCAGCCGUGCGGAGAGGGGGAUGGAUGGGCUGCUCUGCUCGGUUGUUGUUGGUGAGCGGUGGUGGUGGAGUGUGAUGGCAGAAGGGGGGAGUGAGGUGGUGUCGUUAUAUAUAGCGGCCGGAGACGGAGAGCAUCUGACGGGCGGGCGGUGGAGGUGGAGGAGACGGUCGUGAUGGCCGCAGGCAGGCAGGUCCGGUCAACGCGCGGCGCCGGGGCGGGUGCUAGCUAGACGUAUCUCUCCUGUUUCGUGUCAGCUUUGUUUUGAUUCGUUUCGAGCAGCAGGGAAAAUAAAUAAAAAAAAUACGUGUUUAAUUAGGGACGUCAUUUCUUCUGACUCCCUCCGUCUCCAAAAGAGUGUCGUUUUAAGUUUUUGUGCCACAAGUUUGAAUCGAUUUGUAAAAAAUACAUGCAAUAUUUGUAUCUCUAAAUAAUUUUGUUAAAAAACUAGACUUAAAGAUUUUUCCGAUGAUACUAAUUAUGUAAUAUAAAUAUUAAUAUUUUUAUUAUAUAUUUAGUUAAAGUUAUUUCUCGGAAAGCGAAACGACACUUAUUUUGGAACGGAGGGAGUACUCUACUGUCUUUCAAUUAAAUUAAUCUCCUGUAGGCGCCCUGGCCCCUCAAGUUCUCUAAAAAAAAAUAUAGAGACGCCGUUCUGCUACUACGGCCUGCGGACUGCUAGAGAAAGAUAUUUAGGCUUUAUUUAGUUUUAAAAAUUUUAAAUUUUUUUAUCGCGCAAAUAUUUAAUAGAUAUAAAUGAAAAAAUAACUAAUUACUUAGUUUGUCUAUAAUUUAUAGAAUAAAUUUUUAAAUCUCAUGGUCUAUAAUUAAAUAAAAAUUACUAAAUACAAAUAAAAUUAUUACAGUAGUCUAACUAAGGCCUUGUUUAGAUUCAAAAACUUUUUGGAUUUUGACACUGUAGCAUUUCGUUUUUAUUUGACAAAUAUUAUCCAAUCAUAGAGCAACUAGGCUUAAAAGAUUCGUCUCGUGAUUUACAAGUAAACUGUGCAAUUAAUUAUCUUUUUUUUAUUUAUAUUUAAUGUUUUAUACAUGUGCCGCAAAAUUCGAUGUGAUGGAAAAUCUUGUAAAAUUUUGGGUUUUUAGGUGUAUCUAAACCAGGCCUAAAAAAAUCGCAAAUUAAAUAAGCCUGAUAGAUGCCGCCGGGCCCGGAGAGAGCCAAGACAAACGCUCGUGAGCGUGUGAGGUGUACGUGACGACAGUAGCGAAAUCGGAUGCGUGUUUAUUAUUAUAUGGUAAAUAAAUGUAGCAGCACAUAAGACCGGAUUGGGUUCAAUCCUAAAAACAAAAAACUUUUUAAUUUUUUUUUUUUCAUAUCUAAUCUUGUAGCACAUACAUGAAACACUAAAUAUAGACGAAAAUAAAAACUAAUUACACAGUUUACCUAUAAAUCACGAGAUAAUCUUUUGAGUCUAGUUAAUCUAUGUUUAGACAAUAAUUACCAAAUAAAAACAAAAAUACUACAAUACCAAAAACUAAAAAAAAUUCAGAACUAAACAAGACCUUAAUGCCGCGUUCCACAAUUAUGUGCUCCUAAAAAUACUUUCAUAUACUAGCGUUCUACGGUUAGGUGCUGGUAAAAAUACUCCUACCGAAUUAGGAGUACUUAUUGCCAGCCUCGAUGACAUAGCUACCAUGGUACACACAAAGUUGCAGUGGAUCUAGGUUUGAUGGUAGAAGGAAGUAGGAUAAAACUAAAACAAGCUUAUCCGAUCCUAAAAAAUUACCGUUCUACUACCUCCGUCUUAUAAUAUAAUGUAUUUUAGAAAUUUAAGUUAAAUUAAUAAAGAACAUGUAUCUUCAUUUUGUUUUCUAAUCAGACACUAUUGAUGGUGAUUGCUUCAUAAAUAGAAAGUAGUUAGUGCAAAACUGAGUUUGUUCUCUAGAAUGCACAAUUUCUGAAUGCUAGAAUGCCCUAUGUUACAAGAAGGAAUACUAGUUACAACCUACUUAAAUUUAUUAUCUAAUAAUAGUUAGUUGGCUAAUACCUCAUUAUUUGAUUUGGUCUAACUAGUGGGAUACUUCUUUCAUCCUGGAAUAGAGUACAUUAGCGUUUGAGAUGUGUCUUAAAUAUAGUGCAUUCAGGAAACAUGAAGAUAUCGUUUACUUAAAUAAAAAUACGUGAUCUACUGCUUCCUUUUUCAUUUAUUCUCUCUUCUACUUAGAUAAUGAAAGUAAUUCAGUGCUUACCAUAUUUUUUAUAAGAAAACAUAGAUUCUACUCUUUAAUCAUGCAAAAUAGGAUUAGAUUACAGUAGAUUAGAAAGUUAAGUAAGGGAUACAUACUAUAUUCCAGGACCGAGGGAGUAGUUAUCUAAAGGUCCAACUAACAAUUAGCUAGUCCAUUAUCUAUAUCAGUUUGGAUAAAACAAAUAGUUAUUAGCAGAUACUCUCACCAUUCCUAUUGAGAAGUAAAAUAUUCCAAACUUUGACCAAAAUAUGUAUACAAGAAAAUACUAAUAUUUGUAGUACAUAAUUAGUGUUAAAUUUAGAUAGAUUGUUGAAUCUAUUUUCAUAAUAAACUUAUUUGGAGAUAUAAGGUCCUCUUUGAAUCCCUCUGAUUUUUGUUAGCUUUUAAGAAUCUAGUUUUUGGAAACUGGGUGCUACCACCAAGUUUUUGUUGUUAGUUUUUGCUAAAUUCUUAAAAACUAGGAAGUUGUUGAUACCUAGCUUUUAUCAGUUGUUUGUGACCCAUAAAGUAAUAUAAAUGAAGUUAGAUUCUUAAAAACUAGAGAUCCGAACACCCUCAUUAGUUUUUGCUUAGAAUCUAGAUUUUCAAAACUAGAUGCCAAAACUAGUUUUUAAGGGAUCCAAACAUGGCCUUUGCUCAGCAUAUCUUAUGUGAGUUUCCAAUGCAAGUUUGCAUACAACACCCUAUGUUUACCAAUCUUUAUGCUAGUUUCCAAAAUAUGAAGGUAGUGAUACCUCUAUUUAUUAGAUGACAUUUCACAAUUAAAAAAUGAGUUCUCAUAUAAGAGCAUGACUAAUAAUAUAGCUAGCUGCUAGCUCUAAGGUUUCUUUGUAGUCUUUUCGUAGCCCACACAUAUAGUGGUUAACUUAUCCACUAAUACAUGAUUCACUUGUCCCUUUUACAAACUUCCUUGGAUCUUGUCCGGCUGUAAACUUACAACCCGCUUCUACUCUUUCUCCUCUCCUCUUUCCUCUGCCUCAACAUUUAGCCGGCUUACAACCCAUUAUUAUACUUACUCUAAGUCUCUAAGUAGGGUUAUGACUAGUUCAGACCAUAUCCGAGACCGAAUCCACUUAGAGGACUUUAGAUUUGUCCGUAACAAAGUCCAGAUAUUCAACAUCCGACAACAUAUCCGUAUCCAAAUACUUAAAUCGCAUAUUUAUGAUAUCGAUAUUCAUUCGUAUCCUAUCUGACAUAUGUGAUGCUAUCUAUAUUCGAAUCCGAAUAAAAAUACAAAAAUAAUUGUAAUAUCAAUAAUAUAUACCGUAUCUGAUCCAUUUGCAUCCCUACAUAUAAGAAUUGACAGAGUUAAUUCUUAAUUGUACAUACAUAUGAGUCUGCAUGAUGUAGCCAUGCAGGUGUGUAAUAUAUACUAAGGGCAUCCAAACAAGGCACUUCUAGCUAUCUAUUCGCUUAGGGCAUUCACAAUGUAAGACUCUAUCACAGAAUCCAAGACAAUUAACUAUAUAUUAUUUAUGGUAUUUUGCUGAUGUGGCAGCAUAUUUAUUGAAAAGAGGUAGAAGAAAUAAGACUCUAAGUCUUACUCCCUCCGUCUCUGAAAGAAUCAAUUCCUAGGAUCCGUGCCAGUCAAACUUUUUAAAGUUUGACUAACUUUAUAGAAAAGAGUAACAACAUCUAUAAUAUAAAAUACACAUUAUAUGAAAAUAUAUUUUAUGAUGAAUCUAAUAAUACUAAUUUGAUACUAUAAAUCUUAGCAUUUUUUUCUAGAAAUUUGGUCAAAGUUUAAAAAGUUUGACUUAGGACAACUCUAGAAAUUGAUUCUUUCAGGGACGGAGGGAGUAUUUAGACUCUAAGUCUAUAUUGUUCGAGGUAAUAAAUAACUUUAAACUUUAUGAUAAAGUGUUGUAUUGUGAGUGCCCUUUAUGUCGGGCAGAGAGGGCACCGAAAAGUUUAGUCGCUGGCAACGCAUUCGUCGCUCAGCUUGCACACUUCCACAGUAAUUUUUCUGUCUCUGCCUUGGUGACCCACUCCCGCCUGUGCUGUUGGGCUGGCAACUUUUAUAUUUGCUUAUUUUCACUUAGCUAGUGAUUUGGCUCAGCUUGUUGAGGACGCCCUAAUGUAGUAAUCAACUUCAUAGAGGGCCAAAAUUGACUAACAGAGGUUGGCACUAUGUCCACCUCAACAAAAGGUCACUGCAUAUCGCUAUAGCGUCAGCCUCUAUAAAUAAAUUAGGUCUUAUUUAGUUCAACCUAAAAACCAAAAACUUUUCAAGAUUUUUUAUCACAUCGAAUCUUGCAGCACAUGCAUGGAGCAUUAAAUAUAGAUGAAAAUAAAAACUAAUUACACAAUUAGCCUGUAAUUUGCGAGAUGAAUCUUUUAAGCUUAGUUAGCUCAGGAUUGAACAAUAUUUGCCAAAUAAAAAUGAAAACAAAAACUAAAACUAAUUACACAUGCAUGGAGCAUUAAAUAUAGAUGAAAACAAAAACUAAUUACACAAUUUGCCUAUAAAUUGCGAGAUGAAUCUUUUGAGCUUAGUUAGCUCAUGAUUGAACAAUAUUUGCCAAAUAAAAAUAAAAGCUACAGUACCUGAAAAUAAAAUUUUUUGAAAACUGAACAUAGCCUUAGAAAAAAAUAUAAAAAUGUCAGCACUGCCCGGAUAUAAAGACCACACUGAACCCGUCGUGCCGGUCAUGGAUUCGCCAUCACCUCUGCUCCUCUAAUCCACCAUAGGAGGUUCUGAUGAGCCCAUGGCUCCUCGCCUUAUUACAGUUGGUCAAGCUAAAAAUAAUGUGUGUAUAUGCAGUUUGGUUCAUUUUCUCUAGAUGACAAUCAACACAUGAUGAAGGAAGGACAUGAACAUGCUACUGCUACUGAUCUACCGCCAAGUUGUUAUUUAAAGGAGCUAAUUAUUAGGUCAUGAAACAAAGCAAGCUGGUGAGGUUUAUCACAGUUGGGUCCAUACCUGUGGAGAUAGGUUGAGUUUGCCGAGAUCAAAGUUGUGCUCAUCUGAAGUCAGCUGGCAAUUUAAUCAUUCAAAAUUGCAGACGACUUUAGAUUGUUGUUAUGCUUAGCCCAAGUCCAGGAAGGAUAAGACCAGUCUCAAUGGACAUGUCACUGCAUGGUUUCACAUACCAACACGUCAUCAAGAUUGAAAUGAAAUCAUCUAUGAAAUAACUCCAGCAAUGAAGCAUUUCACUUUGUUGUUUCCAAGGCUAGCAAAGCAUUUAAUUACUGCAAAAUGAUUGGAUCACAUGCAAGAUGGUGAAACGAUUUAGCCCUCAGUGGAGAUUUCAUCUCGUUUCACCGCGUGAGAAACAACGCCCGUGGAGUUUCACCAUGGUGAAACUACUUCUUUCUCUCUCCUCUUUGUUUCAUACAAAAAGUGCAGUUUUGCUGACGCGCUCUAAUAAAUGUGCAUGACAUCCUGGUGAUACCCCCACUAAAACUGGCCUAACGAGGUUUCUUCAAUAUGACCAACAUUAAUUGUAUACUUGAGUUGUCUACCUUGGUUGGGUAGUCACGCGUAGUAAUUUAUUUCUUGUGUAACCGAGCCAUGCAGAAAUCUUUCGGCCGAACGGUCGGACGGACAGGAAGUUCCCGCCGAACGACUUGAGAGGAAGGCUAUUGUUUAGUGGGCUAUUCAUUAUUUAUUUCAGCCCAAUUGCAGUAAGUACGUCGCUAGGGAGGUCCAAUACGUGUCCGUUCUCUCCACAUCUCCGUCGUAUAUUUUUCUUUCUUUUUAUUUUUUAUAUUUUAUUUUAUUUUACUUUGUCAUAUUUUCUCUUUUUACUUAUUUUGUUUUUUCUUUCCUUUUAUUUUUUACUUAUUUUUCUUUUCCUUUAUUCUCUUUUUACUUACUUUCUCUUUUCUUUCUACUUGUUUUCAUUUUCUAUAUUUUAAUAAUCAUGAAAAAAAUGUUUCCUUAACGGCUCAUAUAAUGACACAAAUAAUUCAUUAUAAAUAUGUGAUUACCCAUGACAACAACUUAUGUAGGUUGUUAUACUACUUAAUUAUAAGUUGUAUAUACAUUUAUACAUUUUUUUUGACUAAAACGCCAUAACAUGACUAUAUCAAUAGGACACAAAUAACUUUUAAUAGAUGAAACUUAACACAUUAAGCAAUACGAGAUCGAGUUGGUUUGUGUGGGUUAAAGGUGGCCACGGCCAACCCAAUGGAAAUUUCUUUUAAGCAAAUAAUAAUAAUUAGAUUUAAAGAUUAAUAUCAUCUCAAUAUUAGCUAUUAUUUGUGUCAUUAUAUGAGCCACCGAUUGUUAAAAGGAGUAUGUUUCAUGGAUGGUUUUAAACUGUUUGUAUAAAUUGAUUUUUAGGGAUGGUUCUAUUAAGACCAUCGCUCUAAAAAAUCGAUUUAGGAUCAGUUGACUUAAGUCAACUAUUCCUAAAAAUAGGUUUCAUAAAUUUUAAAAAUUACUUAUAAAUCUAUUAAAAAUAAGAAAAGAAUAUUUUCAGUGUGGCCCGAAGCCAGCUCACAAGAUUUAAUUUUUGCUAGUUCUGACCUGCAAACCUCUCACAUAGCACGUUAUAUCCACUAACAUCACACCACACAAUCACUUCUAACUAGUUCUAUGAUGUUAUCUAUUCAUAUUAAUAUAUACAAAUCUUUGUCACACCCAAUUUCAAGGAUGAAAUUGAAUGCAUAAACUUAUGUACGCCCAGAGAUCAAUCACACACAUAAGUCACAAAUUAAAUACCAUCAUCGCAGUGUUUACAACAAACGUAGUUAUUACAUCACAAAGUCUGAUAUAACAGCGGAAAUAUAAAUAUGAUAUUCUAAGAUAACUAUCUCAUGGCCCUCACACAGGGAAGGUCGACUGGUGAAGCACAAGCCUAAUAGUCCUCCGGGUAGUCCUCAUAGCUACCACCAUCUGUUACCCAUCCGGGAUUUUUAUCCAAAGAAAAGAAAUAUACAAGCGUGAGUACAUCUUGUACUCCACAAGCAUAGCAUGAGGAUUUAUGAGGCUCAAACAGGCUAAACUAGGUUCACUGCAUCAGCUUUUAGUAGGUCAGUGUUUUAUCAUUAAUUAUUAUAGAGUAUGCUUAAGCUACCAAAUAUCCCAUAUGAUCAGUUAUUAGAACCAUAGUAAGUCAAUAAGUCACAUUAAAGCAUAAUUAUACAUCAUCAUGUACCAUAUAGCCAUCAGUAACCAGUUAUUCUGUGAGUUUUCCGGGCCGCUCGUGACCGUGAGCACGGCUGUUAUAACAGUUUUACACUCUGCAGAGGUUGUGCACUUUCACCGUGAGUCGUGUUGCCCAUAUGCCCGGGAUCCGUCGACCCCCAAACACUACCAAGGUGAGCGGGCAGGGUACACUAUGAAGCCUUCCAUAGGCCUAUUCUAACCAGUUAGGGCCGCGAGGUUUCCUCGGCAGGCAGAUGUAGAAAACCCCCCCUUUUCUAUGGCACAUUUCCAUCGCGGCUAUACUCAUAGAAACAGGGGCAGCCCUACACCCAAAGUGGCAAGCGCCUCUUGCGCCCUUUUGGGUAACUUCUAAGGAGUUAGAAAAGGUCCUAUUACUGAGCUAAAGUCAGAGCCAUGUGACUCUCCCGGUUGCACUGUAAGUCCCAGCUUUUGCCGACAGAUAAGUCCUUACGGAGGGUCUAGGACAACAUGACCAACAGUCAUUUGUACCAUAGCCCUAUGUUCCAAUUAUCAUAAUCAUGUUUAAUCAAUUAACCAUGGUUCCAUCACUGAUUUCAGAUCAUAUAUAAUUGGAGUUAGAGCACUAGCACUUCUACCCAUAUGCAAUAAAAACCCUCGGGAACAAGGUAAUUGUCAUCAACAGCUAGGAUGUCCUUAUAGUUUGCAAUAUUAUACACAUGCAGGGUGAAAUGCUUAAAAAUAAGUAGGACAACAAGGUAGGCCCAUGCUAUACUUGCCUUGGUUCACGUACUCCUGCUGGUCUUGCUGGUCCUGCUGAUCCCCAAAGAGCUCCGGACUCCCGAAAUACUCCUCACCGUCUGGGCUCGAUCAAUACAUCACAAUCAUCACGCAUACCAAGACAAACAUGCAAGAGAACAAUUCCUAAAGUUAGAACAGUACACCAGCAGUAAAUAAAUUAAAUAAAAGUUUUCCAAAAUCAUCUACGUGCUGCUACGAUCAAGUCAACGCGAAAUUCACGGAAAACGGACUUACGACGCGAAAGUUACGCUUUUAACGGGAUUUCAACAGCAAUCUACGGACUUGUAAAUAACUAGGAAAUCUAACAGUGGUAAACCUAAACAACAGUGGUACCAACGCGAAGCUUACAAAAUUACGAAACUAACGCAACUUGAACGGAUUGAUUCGGAGUUCAAACGGCGAUUUUAUAGCUAAAACAAUGCGGUGGCAAUUCUGUAAAUAAGACAGAGUUUAAACGAAUUUAAAUAAACGAAAUAAAUCCUGUAAAUUCCUCUAGCCGAGGACUGCGGUGCAAAUACAAAAAUUUUAGGGGACUCUUUAACAAGAUAUCAUAUGAAGGGGUAAUAGGUAUUUUUGGCCGUUGGAUCAAGAUUGAACGCGCUGGAUUAAAAGAUAAAUAAAAAAAAUAAAAAAAAAGAGAGAGGAAGGUGACGGCGGACAGGCAGCUCAGGCCAGAAACACGGUGGCCACCAUUGACGGCCGGCCCGAGCUCGCCGGAGUUGAGCGGAGGAGGUGCUACGGUGCACGGUUUUCGAUUCCGAUUGAACUGAGAGAAAGAGGAGAGCGAUGCGAGUCUAUUCCACUCCAAAAACGCGGUCAAGGAGGCGGUUUCCGAGAAGGUUCACGGCGGCGCCAUGAACGUCCCCGUCGGAGCUCGUGGAACUCGGACUCCGGGCCACGAUUGACCAAACCGAGCACACAGGGAGGAAGAGAGAGGCAAGGCGAACUCGCUAGAACACUUGGCGCGGCUGUGGAAGGUCCUACGCGGCACGCGCCAUGGCCGGCGGCCAUGGAGCUCGCCGGAGCUCCGCGGACAGCACUAAGGAGUGCGCCGUUUCGCGAGAAAAAUAGACGGAGAGGAAGCGGGAGAGGAGAGGAAGCUCACAACGGCGCUAAUUCGGAGCGAAAACGGCUCGGAACGGCGGCCUACUCGCGGUCGACGAAGAACUACCCGGCGACGGUUUUCUCUGCGCUUUCACGGAUGGGAGCAGAAGCGAGGAGGGGGAAAAAUGGGGAGAGGAAGACUCGGGCACGCGGACUCCCUCCACUUGAAGCCGAGACGCGGGGGAAGCUGGAGAACGUGGGAGCGGGGCUUCGGCCUGGGCGGUUGCUGCUGAGAGAGAGGAUUCGGGAGCGACGGUUGGAGGAAGGAGGUGGUCCUGACGGGUGGGCCCCACCCGUCAGCCGCCAGAGAGAAAAGCUUUUCCUUUUUAUUUUCCAAACAAAUUUUCCAAACUCUUUUCCAAAUGAAUUUUUGAAUUCAAAAUUCUUUUCAUCAAAACCACUCAUCCCAUAAAGAAAUGCACCAGCAUGUAUGCAACAAAAUAUUAGCCUAACUUAUAUUUAAUUUUAUUUUCUCUAAAUUUAUUUAUUUUUCCUAUAUUGAAAAAUGCUCACAAAAUUAUUUAAUAAAGCCAAAUUCAUCUAUUUUUAAAAGAGCCAAAUUUUGGGUGUUACAAUCUUAUAAUCAAUAUUUUGAUUCAGAAAUAAUCUUAAGUGAGAAAAUUUUCAAUAUAAAAUUUUGGAUCUCUUCGAGCACACCAACUUUGAUAUAGGACAUUUCCCCACCCAAGGUCAUUUGAAAAAAAAUAAAAAUCUCAAAUCUUAAAUUUGAUAACUUAAUAUACAUAUCUAGGACCUUAAAUGAUCUCAAAUGAAAAUUUUAUCAACUGCAGAGUUUUAUAUCUCAUCAAGUUCUUGAUAUAACUUUUGUCUUCACCCGACUUCAUUUUAAAAAGUUAUGAAUUUAUUUGUGCCUUUGAAAAUCGAUUUCUAGGACGGUUGACUUAAGUGAAUCGUCUCUAGAGAUCACCUAUUUUUAGAGACGUUGACAUAAGCAACCGUCCUUGAAAAUCAUAUUUUCAGGUAAAAGCGGUUCUCUUAAACAAACCUUUCUUAAUAGUAGAUAUAUUUUAGUGAUGGUUUAUUUAAUAGAACCACCUCUAAAAAUGUUUUUUUUUCUAGAGAUGGUUUAUAAGCUAAGGUGCUUUCAUGGAUAGUUACAAACGGAUUGCUAAGUAAACCAUCCUUGAAAGAAAUAAUACGCGUGCAUAAAAAAUAUUUCCGUACUACAAUAAAGAUUAUGUUUUGAAUAAAAGAUGCGGAGCCUGAUCGGUUUGUGGCUAAAAUUUGCUAUACCAAGGAUUUGGCAAGCCAAAGUUAGGUAAAAAUAUUGCUAUGAGUUUGGCAAGCUAAAUGUGAGUAUAAGUUUUGAUAGCAAACCAAACAUCAAAAUGAUGGCUCGCCAGAUCUUCUGGCUUAGCAUAUUUUGGGAAUCAACCAAUCAGACCCGCAAUAUGCAGCAUAAGAGCAUCUCCAAAGGCUUUGACAAAUUGACUUGACAUUUGUUAUUGUUUGCAAACUUCCAUAACAAAAUACAAAGGAUAAAAAUAGGUCAUCUCCAAGGGAAUUGACAUUUGGACUUGGCAAAGGAGAAAAAUAAGAGGUCUCCAGGCGCGCGCGCUUUCCUUGCGUGUGACUUUGCACGCGCGAUCAGGUUUGCAAAACCGUCUACAACUUGGCAUUUUUGCCAAGUUUGCUCCCUCAUUUGCCAAUUUGCCCAAAUUGCAAACUCCAAAUGUAAAACCGUUGGAUAUCCCUUUUAGAGCUAUUUGACAAAUUACUCAAAUGCAAACCUCAAAUGCAAAACCCUUGAAGAUGCUCUAAGAGUUUGGACUUAACAUCAUUCUAGUAAAAAAUAUAGCAAUUAAUAAGAUAAAAGAAAUUGAACCCGCACGAUCCUAUGAUUAUAUAUUUUUUUAGAUAAAAAAUAGUAUAUAUCCAACUUUAUUUAUCAACGAUAGAAUUAGACUAAUUAUUCCAACAUUCCACCCGUAGGCAACUAAAGCACUCAUAAAUUACACGCCUGUCUUAAUUAAUUGUUAUACUCGCUUAGUUGCGACCUUGAGCAUGCCCCACAUUCGUGGGCGAUGGAUAAUGGUUUGUAGUCUUUUUCCAUAAUUUAUGGUUGCGGUGAAUGUCUUUUACACUUACACGUUUACCGAUAAGAUAAAAAAUAUGUACUUUACACUUUCACAGAGACGCAUAUUUAUUUCUUUUUAGGAUUCGGUAGGUAUGAAAUAGCAAAAAGGGUAGAACUCGUUAAAAGCGUGGGUUUGCGGGCCACUUGCCAUUUGGAUUUGGCACAAAAUCUUUCAUGGCGAUUGGCGGACCGUGUUAAGGUCAUGUUUGACUAUACUCAGCUAUUGUAUUGUAACAUCCAAAAAUUUUAUUUAUUUAAAAUAGAUGAAUUGAAUUUAAAUGAAUUAUUUUGUGAGCAUUUUAAUGUAGGAAAAUAAUAAAUUUUGGGAGAAUAAAAUUAAAUAUAAGUUUAGGCUAAUAUUUUUGUUGCAUACAUGCUGGUGCACUUCUUUUAUGUGAUGAGUGGUCUUUGAACAAAGGAAUUUGAAUUCAAUUUCAUUUGGAAAAGAGUUGAAAAUUUUGUUUGGAAAAAUAAAAAGGAAAAAAGCCUUCUCUUCCCCCCAUUCCUCCUUUCGCCCAUUUUGGCCCAAACCCCCGCGCCCGCCCCUCCUUCCUGGGCCGCGGCCCAGCCGACUUCCCCUCCCUUCCCCCUCUCUCUCUCUAGCGGCUGACGGGUGGGGCCCACCCGUCAGGUUCAUCCCCUCCCCCAAACCGCCGCCCGAUUUCCUCUCUCUGUUGAAACCGCCGAAGCCGCACUCCGCUCCCACGUUCUCCAGCUUCCCCCGCGCCUCGGUCUUCAAGUUGGAGAGCCCCUCGCGCACCCGAGCACUCCCCCUCCCCCAUUCUCUCUUCUCCUUGCCCGUGCCCCGCUCGUUUCUGCGCAGAGAACCGUCGCCGGGAAGUUCUUCGUCGGCCGCGCGUAGGCCGCCGUUCCGAGCCGUUUUCGCCCCGAUUUCGCGCUGUGGUGAGCUCCGUCUCCUUCCCCACUCCCUCCCCGUCCUGUUUCCGAGCGAAUCGAGGCCCGCUAGCGCCCUAGCCGCGCUCGUCGGAGCAGUUAUCCGCCGGCGGCCAUGGCGCGGCCGCUCGGGCGUUUCUCCGGCCGCGUCCUAGCCCGGGGCGUGAUCCCCUCGCCCUCCUCUCUCUCUGGGAGUUUUCGGUUUGGAAAACCGAGCUCCGUAGCGCUCUGCAGGACUUCGCCGGCAAGCUCGGGCCGGCCGUCAAUGGCGGCGCCGCCGCGCCCUCCCUCCCCUCCGGCCGGCGCGCCCUCUCCUCUCUCCCUCUGUUUUCUUUCUUUUAAUCUCGCGCGUCCGUUUCCAAUCGGACGGCCGAGAAGAGCCCGUACCCUUUCGGGGGUAGUUUUGUUAAAGAAACCCCAACUUUUUGCUAAUCACGCCCACAGUCCUUAGCGCAUUUCGUAAAUUACGCUUUGUCUUUUAGAAAGCGUAUUAUCUGUCGGUUAGGUCAAAAUACGCUUUCAGGAAAUUACAGAAUUGCCACUGAACUUGUUUUAGCCACAAAAUAUUCGUUAUAGCUCCGAUUUGACCCGUUCGAAUUGCGUUAGAUUCGUAAUUAAAUUCUCUACAUGUUAGUACUACUGUUUCUGUAGUUUGCAACUUUUUAUUUUCAGGGUUAGGUUUAAUUAAUUAAAUGCCUAUAGGAAAUCACCGUAAAUUCGUAACUUGCUCGUUUUAGCUUCGAUUUUCGUGAUCUUCGUAUCUAUGUGAUCGUGGCGUAACGUAGGUUCUAUUUUUAAAUAUUUUAUUUCAUUUUGAUCUGUUGGUGUACUGUUCUAACUAAAGAAUUGUUUGCUUGUAUGAUUGAACUUGGAAUGCGUGUUGUUGUGUGGUACCGAUCGAGCGCAGACGGUGACGUGUCCGUGGGUGAUCCAUUUUACUCCGAGGAGAAGCAGGACCAGCAGUAGUUCCUCUUCACCGAAGGCAAGUAUAACAUGGGUUUCCCUUGUACACCUAUUCACUUAAUUAAUUACGUAUCUGCAUGUGUCUAAUUUUGAAAACCCUAAGGACAUCCUAGCUACCUGACUAUAAAUUUAUGACACCUAUGGGUAGUAUGCAUGUGGGUAGCUUUGCUAGUGCUUUAAUUAAUUGAGACUUUACUAUCACUCUGACUUUAAUAAAUUUGAUGACAAAUGUUGAGAAAAGGGCUAUGGUGCAAUUGACUUCGGUCAGGUUGACCUAGACCCUCCGUAAGGACUUCUCUGUAAGCGACUAUCCGGGACUUACAGUGCAACCGUGAUGGUUAUAUGGCUCUAACUUUAGCUCAGUACUAGGAUCUCAUCUAGCUGGUUAGAGGUUACCCGAAAGGGCGCAAGAGGGGCUUGCCACUUUGGGUAUAGAACUGCUUCUGUUCCUAUGUGUAUAGCCGUGAUGGAAAUAUGCCAUAGGAAAGGGGUUCUCUAUAUCUGCCUGCCGAGGAAACCUCGCGGCCCUAACUAGUUAGACGAGGCCUAUGGAAGGCUUCAUAGUGUUCCUUGCCCGCUCACCUUGGCAGUGUUAGUGGGUCUUGCAAACCCCGGGCAUAUGGGUAACAUGACUUACGGGAAAAGUGCACACCUCUGCGCAGAGUUUGAUCAAACUAGUAUACUAGCCGUUCUCUCGGACAUGAGCGGCCUUGGACCCUUACAGAAUAGUUGGGUGUGGUUGGUUAUGGGGGAAUGACUUAUGAAAAUCUGACGCAUUGAUCGUGAAGAUUAAUGUGGUUUAACCGUGAUGGUGAUGGUGUUAGCCGUGAAGUUUAACGGUGUUAUUAUCAUGUACUCAAUUGGGCUAAUCGAGAGCUUAAGCAUGAUUAAAUAGGAAUAAAACAUUGACCAAUUAAAAUGCUAACUGCAGUAGCCAGUGUCUGACCUUUUUUGAGCCACAUAAAAUCCUAUGUUAUGCUUGCGGAGUACGAGAUGUACUCACGCUUGUCUCUUUAUUUCUUUUUGGACAAAAAUCCCGGAUGGGUAACAGAUGAAAGCUACUAUGAAGAUUUCCCUGAGGACUUCUAGGUUGGCGAUCCACCCGUCGGUCGUCCCUGUGAUUGGAGCUACCAAGCUUAGAUAGUUAUGUGUUUUAUUUCCGUUUGUCGCAGACUUUGAUAUAUUUGUGUUGUAAUAACGUUAUGUAAGACACUUGUGAUGAUACAUUUGUAAUUUUUCGACUUGUGUGCGCGACUAUUCCUGGGGCGCACAUGAGAUUAUUGUACUUAAAUUUAUCCUUAAAUUUGGGUGUGACAAAUUGGUAUCAAAGCAAGGCUGACUGUAGGACGCAAACCUAGGUAGAAACAGUCGAUUUUAGGGUUUUUACUUUCGCUUUAUUUAUUUCACUGCUUACUUUACUUUCUUGUUAUUUUAUUAAAAUUAUAUAUUCUUACCCACUGUUCUAUUUAUGUAAACAUAUUGAUUCUAAUUCUUAAAAUAAAAUUUAUAGAUGCCUCGUCGCAGCGCAGCCGCGUACCGUGCCCUCUUCACCGCCGCCCGUGCUCCGCCAGUUGCACCAGCACCAGCACCAGUACCUGCACCUGCCCCAGCACCUAUACCUGAGCCCGAGGUCGUCGCCUCUGGUGGCGGCGAGGAGGAGGAGCCUAUGGACACGGGGUCUCCUACGCCUACACCUUCAGCGCCUACUUCGGUGGAGGUAUCGAUCCCGCAGGCCGCCGCUCCAGCACCACCUGCACCUGCACCACCUGCGCCUGCACCCCACGCGUCGACGGGUUCAGCGUCGACGCCUCAGUACCCACAGGUUGUCCUAGAGAUGGGAUGGACCUCUAGGAACAAGUUCAUAGAGGUUGACGAGGACGCUCACUACCACACUCUGCUCACGGGUGUGUUGACGAGCUACUACCCGGAGUUUGCUGCCACCGUCCUCUACCUUUGCUCGGAGCACAAGCACCCGUUGGAGAACACCUACUGGAAGGCCGAGGUGAUCAUCACAGCUCGGAACAACAUCGACAACUCGGAUGAGGUGGAGUCCAUCUAUGAGAGCAGGGUUAGGCGUGCUUCCGCCUACGAGAGCAUGGAGGAUGCAGCCCAAGCUGCGUACUUUCACUACCAUGGCCGUCGUUUUGAGGCCAUGCUGGAGGAUAGGUACCGGUUUCUUCCCCGCAACGACCCAGAUGGCAGGACAUGACAUGUCCUGGCACCUCCUGCUGGUGACCCUACCCUGGAUAUGACUGUGAGACACGUUAGUGCCAUUCAGAAGAUGAAUGUGGCACUGAGGCAGGAGCUGCGUGUUACACAGCAGGCGGGGAAGUGCCUCCAGCGCCAGGUGGAUGAGCUGCGUGGUCAGUUUGGACAGCCACCCAUCUAUAAGAAGAAGCCCCGCAAGUUCGUUCUGCAGGAUAGAGCUCCCUAGAUUUCCCAGUACCUUCUAGUUAGACGUUAGCACGAGUAUUUCAGUAAUGUGUGGCAUGUGAACUUUAGUGUGUUGCUGUUUGUGAUGAUGAACAAUUAUGAUUUGGAGUUUUUUUUGAUUGUAGAAACAUGUGGGCCUGUCCGCAUAUUUCUAAAGUUUAAUUCUAGUAGUAAACGAUGUUUAAUGUGAUGUUGGGUUACUUUAUCUUUGUCUCAGUCAUGCUGAUUCUGGAGCAGUCUGUGAUGUUUAUUCUGUAUUUCAUUAUUGGUUGAGUCGAAAAUUACGAAAUUUUUAUGGUGAAAACUAGACUGGCAUAUCUUUGAUCUCCAACUGGAGUCACCUCAUUAUCUGUUAGGGUCUAUGAGAUAUGUCCGAUUUAAUCUGCUGUACCUGCGCAGACUGAGAACUAGAGCAGAACCUGAUAAACCAUAAUUUUGAUUAUGUUACUGUUGGAAUCAGUAAAUGUGGUCUGAAUAAAGUUUGUAGAGAAUUUCUUAACCUUUCCAGCGAUGUAUACCAUGUUCCUAUUGGAUCUCUAGAUUCUGAGAUAAUCAUGGAUUACUGACCUGCUGAGUUUGAAACUUGUCCAUAAAACUGCUAGUCUUGUUUUUAUUCAUUAUAAGCGAUGAAUAAUUAUUUUGGAAGAUCAAUAAAAGCCGUGAAUCUUUGUUGGAAGCAGAUGGAUGCCGAAGGAGCAGACGCUGGUCAUGGACGUGGCCGUGGCCGUGGCCGUGGACGUGGUGUACCUGAGAAUCCACCACCACCACCGCCGCCUAUGACUAUUGAGCAGCUUAUGGGUAUGCAAGCUAAUCUGAUGCAAGCCAUGAUGAACCGUAUGAACAAUGAACCAGUAGCUGUACCACCGCCGGUUCAAGUCCGUGACAAGCGUGGGGAGUUUUUGAAGGGACGUCCCCCGGUGUUCACCCAUGCCUCUGAUCCACUGGAGGCAGACGACUGGUUAAAAGCAGUCGAGAAGCUGCUGGACAUAGCCCAAUGCAGCAACUUGGAGAAAGUGUUGUACGUCUCAGGCUAGCUGCAAGGACCUGCACAGGAGUGGUGGGAGUCCUAUCAGUAUGGACGCCCGAACAAUGCUCCACCAGUCACCUGGAAGGAGUUUACUGAAGGGUUCAGGUCCCAUCAUAUUCCAGAGGGCCUGAUAGAACUGAAAGCGGAAGAGUUCCGGUCUCUCAAGCAGGGAUCGAUGUCAGUCAGUGAGUAUCGUGACAAGUUUGCAGAGCUGUCACGAUAUGCUCCAUAUGAGGUGGCCAGGGACUCUGACAAGCAGCGCCUCUUCCUGAAGGGUUUGUAUGAUAGACUGCAGCUGCAGCUGAUGAGCAACAUCUACCCUUGUUUUCAAGAAUUGGUGAACCACGCUAUUGUCAUCGACAACAAGCGCAAGGAGAUGGAUGCAAAGAAGAGAAAGCUCCAGGGGCAGCCGUCGGGCAGCAACACUCGCCCACGUGCGUACCCUCAGCAGGGAUUCCCUCAGCGCAGUCAAGGACCGCUGAAUCAGUGGAACCGUGGUCAGUUUCCACAGUGUCCCCAGUACCACUAGCAGCACAGCCACCAAAACCAACAACGUCUCCAGCAGCAGUAUGGCAAUCAGAGUCAGCAACGCCCCCAGCAACAGGUCAACAACCAAGCACCACGCCAAGGAGGGCCCAACAAUGCUCCUGGCAAGAGUGCAGCACCCAGCGGCAAUCCCAAUGCCUGCUACUGCUGCGGAGAGGUGGGACACUAUGCAUACCAGUGCCCCAAGAAGCAGAAUCCACCAGCCCAGCAAAACCAGAACAACAAUCAGAGGCCUACUCGACCUCCAUUGUCGGGAAGAGUGAACUAUGUGUGCACUGACACAGCUCAGGAAGCACCUGAGGUUAUGAUGGGUACGUUCAACAUCAACUCCAUCCCCGCUACAGUACUGUUCAAUUCUGGUGCUUCACAUUCUUUUAUCUCCCAAGCUUUUGUUAGAGUGCAUAGCAUCCCACUUUGCACACUGAAAAAUUCUAUGCUAGUAAAUUCACCGGGAGGUAACAUGCCAGCUAAUUACUGGAGCCCCUCCACUAGUAUAUCUCUAAGGGGGAUAGAUUUCAAGGUGAAACCUAUUGUGCUAAGAACCAUGGGAAUUGACCUCAUACUUGGAAUGGAUUGGAUGAAGCAGCAUGGGGCAGUAAUUCAGUGUCAGGAGAAGUCUGUGGUGGUGACAUCACCAGGUGGGGACAGAAUAAGUGUGGAUGUGGUAGUGCAACCUCAGCCGACUGCUACAAUGAAUCAGAUGAGUGGUGCUAAUCAAGAAGACCAAGUGGUGGACGAGUUCCCAGAUGUGUUCCCGGACGAGUUGCCAGGUAUGCCACCAGACCGAGACAUUGAAUUUCUUAUUGAGCUUUUACCUGGAACUGCACCCAUAGCAAAAAGACCAUAUAGAAUGGGGGUAAAUGAAUUAGAGGAACUUAAGAAACAGCUUAAGGAAUUGCAAGAAAAAGGGUUUAUCCGUCCUAGUUCUUCACCCUGGGGUGCACCAGUAAUCUUUGUUGAUAAGAAAGAUGGCACUAGGAGGAUGUGUGUGGAUUAUCGGUCAUUAAAUGAAGUCACUAUUAAAAAUAAAUACCCACUGCCUAGAAUAGAUGACUUAUUUGACCAACUGAAAGAAGCAUGUGUGUUCUCCAAAAUUGACCUCCGAUCUGGCUACCACCAGUUGAAAAUCCGUGCAACUGACAUACCUAAGACAACUUUUACCACAAGGUAUGGCUUGUAUGAGUAUACAGUCAUGUCAUUUGGGCUGACCAAUGCACCUGCAUACUUCAUGUAUAUGAUGAACAAGGUGUUCAUGGAGUAUUUGGAUAAGUUCGUGGUAGUAUUCAUUGAUGAUAUAUUAAUCUUCUCCAAAACAAAAGAAGAACAUGCUGAACAUUUGAGAUUGGUCUUGCAAAAGCUUAGAGAGAAUAAAUUGUAUGCCAAGAAAAGCAAGUGUGAGUUUUGGUUGGAUGAGGUCUCAUUUUUGGGACAUGUGGUCUCCAACAGUGGAAUAGCCGUAGACCCCAGCAAAGUGCAAGAUGUGCUGAAUUCGAAGCCUCCAACCAAUGCUAGUGAGAUCCGUAGCUUUCUCAGACUAGCUGGGUAUUAUAGGAGGUUUAUUGAAGGAUUCUCUAAGUUAGCAAAACCCAUGACAGCCCUACUAGAGAAGAGUGCCAAAUUUAUUUGGUCAGAUAAGUGCCAAGAGAAUUUUGAGGAGCUAAAGAAAAGGUUGACCACAGCUCCAGUGUUGACCUUACCAGAUCUGAGUAAAACCUUCUCUAUUUAUUGCGAUGCAUCUCGCCUAGGCCUUGGAUGUGUGCUUAUGCAAGAAGGAAGAGUAGUGGCCUAUGCAUCCAGGCAGUUGAGAAAACAUGAGCUGAAUUAUCCUACUCAUGAUUUGGAGCUAGCUGCCGUGGUUCAUGCUCUAAAGAUUUGGAGGCAUUAUUUAAUUGGACACAAGUGUGAUAUUUAUACGGAUCACAAAAGUUUGAAGUAUAUUUUCACACAGUCGGAUCUGAACCUAAGGCAACACCGCUGGCUAGAAUUAAUAAAGGAUUAUGACCUGGAAGUGCAUUACCAUCCCGGGAAGGCAAACGUUGUUGCCGAUGCACUUAGCCGAAAGAGCUAUGCCAAUGGGCUGCAAUUGACCUUCAUUCCCACAGAGUUGCUAGCUGAAAUUGAGCAUCUCAAUUUGGGUUUAGUGAACAAUACUGUUGAAUUGGAGUUAGAGCCCACCCUAGAGCAAGAAAUCCGCAAAGGUCAGUUGGAGGAUGAGAAAUUAAAAGAAAUUUCAGAGAAUGUAGUGCUUGGAAAAGCACCAGGUUUCAGGUUGGAUGAAAAUGGUACACUAUGGUUUGGGAAGAGGAUAUGUGUGCCUGAAGUAAAAUCCAUCCGAGAUGCAAUCCUACGUGAAGCACAUGACUCUGCAUAUUCAAUUCACCCCGGAAGCACCAAGAUGUAUCUAGAUCUUAAAGAAAAAUAUUGGUGGUAUGGAUUAAAGAGAGAUGUGGCAGAGUAUGUAGCCAUUUGUGAUACUUGUCAAAGGGUGAAAGCCGCGCACCAAAGACCUGCAGGGUUGUUGCAACCAAUGCAAGUGCCUGAAUGGAAAUGGGAAGAAGUAGGUAUGGAUUUCAUCACGGGAUUGCCCCGCACUCAGCGUGGGUUUGAUUCAAUUUGGGUAAUAGUGGAUCAACUCACUAAAGUUGCUCACUUUUUGCCCGUUAAGACCAACUAUGAUGGUGCAAAGUUGGCAAAAUUAUAUAUGGAUAGAAUCGUGAGUCUGCACGGAGUUCCGAAGAAGAUCGUGUCUGAUCGGGGUACACAGUUCACAUCACAGUUUUGGCAUAAAGUACAUGAAUCGCUGGGAACAAAGUUGAACUUUAGUUCCGCGUAUCAUCCCCAAACCGAUGGGCAGACUGAAAGAGUUAAUCAGAUUCUAGAAGACAUGUUGAGUGCAUGUGCGUUACAUGAUGUUACCAGUUGGGACACUAGUUUACCAUAUGCUGAAUUUUCAUAUAAUAAUAGUUACCAGAAAAGUCUCGAUAUGGCACCGUUUGAAGCAUUGUAUGGGCGGAAAUGUAGAACACCUUUGUUUUGGAAUCAAACUGGUGAGAGUCAAGUAUUUGGACCAGAUGUUCUUAGUGAUGCAGAGGCACAAGUACGGAAAAUACGGGACAACUUGAGAGUAGCCCAGUCUCGACAAAAGAGUUAUGCUGAUACUAGAAGAAGAGAUUUGGCAUUCGAGAUAGGUGACUAUGUGUAUUUGAAGGUGUCACCUAUGAGAAGUGUCAGGAGGUUUAAUAUGAAGGGUAAAUUGGCACCAAGGUACGUUGGACCGUUCAGAAUUCUUAGGAGACGUGGAGAAGUGGCCUAUCAGUUAGAGUUGCCUGCGAGUAUGUCGGGUAUUCACGAUGUGUUCUAUGUGUCACAACUAAAGAAAUGUUUGCGAGUGCCUGAGGAACAAAUUCCAUUGGAGGAACUCACAGUUGAAGGAGAUCUAACUUAUGAGGAAUAUCCAAUCAAGAUCUUAGAAACAACGGAAAGAGUCACCCGAAGUCAGGUUAUAAAGAUGUGCAAAGUGCAGUGGCACCGAUAUAAACAAGAAGAAGUCACUUGGGAAAGAGAAGAUGAGCUGAGACAAUCUUAUCCGUAUCUCUUUGAGUAAGCACCGUCUCAAUCUCGAGGACGAUAUUAUUUUUAAGGGGGGUAGAAUUGUAACACCCAAAAAUUUUAUUUAUUUAAAAUAGAUGAAUUGAAUUUAAAUGAAUUAUUUUGUGAGCAUUUCAAUGUAGGAAAAUAAUAAAUUUUGGGAGAAUAAAAUUAAAUAUAAGUUUAGGCUAAUAUUUUUGUUGCAUACAUGCUAGUGCACUUCUUUUAUGUGAUGAGUGGUCUUUGAACAAAGGAAUUUGAAUUCAAUUUCAUUUGGAAAAGAGUUGAAAAAUUUGUUUGGAAAAAUAAAAAGGAAAAAGCUUUCUCUUCCCCCCAGUCCUCCUUUCGGCCAUUUUGGCCCAAACCCCCGCGCCCCGCGCCUCCUUCCUGGGCUGCGGCCCAGCCGACUCCCCCUCCCUUCCCCCCUCUCUCUCUAGCGGCUGACGGGUGGGGCCCACCCAUCAGGUUCAUCCCCUCCCCCAAACCGCUGCCCGAUUUCCUCUCUCUCACUUGAAACCGCCGAAGCCGCACUCCGCUCCCACGUUCUCCAGCUUCCCCCGCGCCUCGGUCUUCAAGUUGGAGAGCCCCUCGCGCACCCGAGCACUCCCCCUCCCCCAUUCUCUCUUCUCCUUGCCCGUGCCCCGCUCGUUUCUGUGCAGAGAACCGUCGCCGGGAAGUUCUUCGUCGACCGCGCGUAGGCCGCCGUUCCGGGCCGUUUUCGCCCCGAUUUCGCGCUGUGGUGAGCUCCAUCUUCUUCCCCACUCCCUCCCCGUCCUGUUUCCGAGCGAAUCGAGGCCCGCUAGCGCCCUAGCCGCGCUCGCCGGAGCAGUUAUCCGCCGGCGGCCAUGGCGCGGCCGCUCGGGCGUUUCUCCGGCCGCGUCCUAGCCCGGGGCGUGAUCCCCUCGCCCUCCUCUCUCUCUGGGAGUUUUCGGUUUGGAAAACCGAGCUCCGUAGCGCUCUGCAGGACUUCGCCGGCGAGCUUGGGCCGGCCGUCAAUGGCGGCGCCGCCGCGCCCUCCAUCCCCUCCGGCCGGCGCGCCCUCUCCUCUCUCCCUGUGUUUUCUUUCUUUUAAUCUCGCGCGUCCGUUUCCAAUUGGACGGCCGAGAAGAGCCCGUACCCUUUCGGGGGUAGUUUUGUUAAAGAAACCCCCAACUUUUUGCUAAUCACGCCCGCAGUCCUUAGCGCAUUUCGUAAAUUACGCUUUGUCUUUUAGAAAGCGUAUUAUCUGUCGGUUAGGUCAAAAUACGCUUUCAGGAAAUUACAGAAUUGCCACUGAACUUGUUUUAGCCAUAAAAUAUUCGUUAUAGCUCCGAUUUGACCCGUUCGAAUUGCGUUAGAUUCGUAAUUAAAUUAUCUACAUGUUAGUACUACUGUUUCUGUAGUUUGCAACCUUUUAUUUUCAGGGUUAGGUUUAAUUAACUAAAUGCCUAUUGGAAAUCACCGUAAAUUCGUAACUUGGUCGUUUUAGCUCCGAUUUUUGUGAUCUUCGUUUCUAUGUGAUCGUAGCGUAACGUAGGUUCUGUUUUUAAAUAUUUUAUUUCAUUUUGAUCUGUUGGUGUACUGUUCUAACUAAAGAAUUGUUUGCUUGUAUGAUUGAACUUGGAAUGUGUGUUGUUGUGUGGUACCGAUCGAGCGCAGACGGUGACGUGUCCGUGGGUGAUCCAUUUUACUCCGAGGAGCAGCAGGACCAGCAGCAGUUCCUCUUCACCGAAGGCAAGUAUAACAUGGGUUUCCCUUGUACACCUAUUCACUUAAUUAAUUACGCAUAUGCAUGUGUCUAAUUUCGAAAACCCUAAGGACAUCCUAGCUACCUGACUAUAAAUUUAUGACACCUAUGGGUAGUAUGCAUGUGGGUAGCUUUGCUAGUGCUUUAAUUAAUUGAGACUUUACUAUCACUCUGACUUUAAUAAAUUUGAUGACAAAUGUUGAGAAAAGGGCUAUGGUGCAAUUGACUUCGGUCAGGUUGACCUAGACCCUCCGUAAGGACUUCUCUGUAAGCGACUAUCCGGGACUUACAGUGCAACCGUGAUGGUUAUAUGGCUCUAACUUUAGCUCAGUAGUAGGAUCUCAUCUAGCUGGUUAGAGGUUACCCGAAAGGGCGCAAGAGGGGCUUGCCACUUUAGGUAUAGAACUGCUUCUGUUCCUAUAUGUAUAGCCGUGAUGGAAAUGUGCCAUAGGAAAGGGGGUUCUCUAUAUCUGCCUGCCGAGGAAACCUCGCGGCCCUAACUGGUUAGACGAGGCCUAUGGAAGGCUUCAUAGUGUUCCUUGCCCGCUCACCUUGGCAGUGUUAGUGGGUCUUGCAAACCCCGGGCAUAUGGGUAACACGACUUACGGAAAAAGUGCACACCUCUGCGUAGAGUUUGAUCAAACUAGUAUACUAGCCGUGCUCUCGGACAUGAACGGCCUUGGACCCUUACGGAAUAGUUGGGUGUGGUUGGUUAUGGGGGAAUGACUUAUGAAAAUCUGACGCAUUGAUCGUGAAGAUUAAUGUGGUUUAACCGUGAUGGUGAUGGUGUUAGCCGUGAAGGUUAACUGUGUUAUUAUCAUGUACUCAAUUGGGCUAAUCGAGAGCUUAAGCAUAAUUUAUGAUUAAAUAGGAAUAAAACAUUGUUCAAUUAAAAUGCUAACUGCAGUAGCCAGUGUCUGACCUUUUUUGAGCCACAUAAAAUCCUAUGUUAUGUACUCUCGCUUGUCUCUUUAUUUCUUUUUGGACAAAAAUCCCGGAUGGGUAACAGAUGAAAGCUACUAUGAAGAUUUCCCUAAGGACUUCUAGGUUGGCGAUCCACCAGUCGGUCGUCCCUGUGAUUGGAGCUACCAAGGUUAGAUAGUUAUGUGUUUAUUUCCGUUUGUCGCAGACUUUGAUAUAUUUGUGUUGUAAUAACGUUAUGUAAUACACUUAUGAUGAUACAUUUGUAAUUUGUCGACUUGUGUGCGCUACUAUUCCUGGGACGCACAUGAGAUUAUUGUACUCAAAUUUAUCCUUAAAUUUGGGUGUGACAUGUAUCCAUCUUAUUCUAGAUUAGAAUAAAAUAUUUGUUAAUCUUUCAUCCUAACACAUGUAGAGUGAGAUUGACAUGAGCGUAGCCAAGCAAGUAAAUGUGAAAUGAGGUGGGCGCGCAGAUGAGUCCAAAUUCUCUGGACUAGAUCCUAUUUGUUUCAGCUUCAUGGGAGCUUUUGGAUAUUAGUUUAGUAUCCAUCAAAAACCAAAAAGCUCUGUUAAAAGCUUCUAAAAAACCUAAACAUCGAUGUUUGACGGAUGGAGCUGGGACAUGCUGGUCAUUCAGAAGUGGAGGUUGAUGGAUGAGGUCGCCGUAUAUAGUGCGUCUCUAGUUUCACCACUGUCUCACUCCGGGUCUCUAAUAAUGUGCAACUAGGACGUGCCGUCAAGUACACAUGACGCGCCAAUAUGACAUCAUGCGCAUCAAGUAUACAUAAGUGCAUAACAGAUAAAUAUAUAUUCCAACAAUUUAGUAAUCAUGAAAAAUGUUUCCUCAACGGCUCAUAUAAUGACACUAAUAAUUAAUUUUAAAUAUGUGAUUAUGUACCCAUAACAAUACCUUAUAGGUUGUUAUACUACUUAAUUACAAGUUAUAUACACCCAUUAUUGUGACUAAAAUGCCAUAACAUGACUAUAUCGAUCAAUAGAACACAAAUAAAUUUUAAUAGAUAAAUAAAACUUAACACCUUAAGCAGUAGAGAUGGUUUUUGUAGGUUAAAGGUGGCCAUGGCCUCUCCUAUUUUUUACCAAAGUCAUCAGCAGGGGAAACCCUAACCUAUUUUUUUCAUAAUUUUUUUGUCGGCCUCUCCUUUUUCUUUGACCAAAGUCAUCAGCAGGGGAAAUCCUAACCUAUUUUUUUAUAUUUUUAUUCUAGACCUAUUUAAUUCACUCCCAUGGAGAGUCGAACCUAGGCCUGCUAGAUGCUACUCGGGUGCUCUAACCGCUAGGCUAGAGGCCCUUUCGCCAUGGACUCCCCUAUUGAGAUUUCUUUUAAGCAAAGAGUAAUUACUAGAUUUAAAGAUUAUUAUCAUCUUGAGGUUAGCAUUGCUGAGCUUAUAUAUAGAUCUCAUAUCAAGGUCUAUCUUAGAUCUUGAUUGUAUAUGGACUUUACUAGUCUAGUUGAGGGCAGGGGUGGAUCACAGUUGGGGUUGGCUAAUUUCAAUGGUUUUGGAAUUCCUCUAUAAUGAAGGUCUUGUGUAGUUCUUGAUCUCAACCAUACAUAUAUAACUCAAUCAUCUUUGAAUGCUGACCUUGAUGAUCCAUUUUGCUAGAUUCACCAUUGGUCUAGGUCCUAAAAUCAUAUAUCACACAAUCAUCUUUGAAUGUAGGCCUAGAUGAUCCAUUUUUGCUAGAUUCACCAUUGGCCUAGGACCUAAAAUUCUAACUCUAGUGCUAAAUGAUUUUUUGCUAACGGUCAAAAACAAGCUCCAGGGUCAUUUUGAACAACCGCUACUAUGUCACCGAUUGUAAAAAGGAGUGAUUUCCAGGAGUGGUGUUAAAACGGUUUCUAGAAAUCGAUUUUUACGGGUGAUUUUGAUAAGACAAUCAUCCUUAAAAAUAAAUUUUCGGGAACCAACCCUAAAAUUAAUUUUAAUUUUUUUAAAUUCAUUUAGAAGUCUAUCAAAAUUAACCAAAAAAAUAUUUUUAAUGUGGCCAAAAGGAUCAAUCACAGCUUAACCGAAUUAGGUUUUGCUAGUUUUGAAAGGAUUGAACCCACAACUCUCGCGCUCGCGUAUUGUACCUCCUACCACCACAUCACACAGUCAAUUCUAACUAGUUCUAUGGUGCUAUCUAUUUUUUUUUACUAAAAUGUACAAAUCUUGUAGUCAAUAUUUUGACUCGUAAACAAUUUUAAAUGUACAAAGUUUUAGAUCUCAUCCAACACUAUUACACUACAACUUUAAUAUAGGACAUUUCUCCACUCAAGGUCAUUAAAAAUUCAAAAAAUUUAAAAUUUGAAAUCUAAGAACUUAAUAAAUAUAUAUAUAUAUAUAUCUAACCCUUAAACCAUCUUGAAUAAAAAUUUUAUCAACUAAACUUUUAGAUCUCGUCAACCUCUGUAAUUUUGAUAUAAAUUUUGUCUUCAUCCAACUUUAUUUUAAAAAAAUUAUAAAUUUAUUUAUGCUCUAGCUAUUUUUAAGACAACCGUAUUUGAGAAUCGAUUUCUAGGGGUGGUUGACUUAAGUCAACCAUCUCUACAAAUCACUUAUUUUGAGAUCAUAUUUUUUGGAAGUAGUUCUUUUAACCAAACCGUUCUUAAAGGUAGAUAUUUUUUCAAUGAUAGUUUACUUAAUAGAACCAUCCCUAGAAAUGCAGUUUAUAAGCUAAGUGCUUCUUUGGAUAACUACAUAUGGUUUGCUAAGGCCUUGUUUAGUUCCAAAAAAUUUGCAAAAUUUUUUAAAUUUCACGUCACAUCGAAUCUUGUGGCACAUGUAUAGAACAUUAAAUAUAGAUUAAAAAAACUAAUUGCAUAGUUUGUCUGUAAUUUGUGAGACGAAUCUUUUGAGCCUAGGUAGUCCAUGAUUGAAUAAUAUUUAUCAAAUACAAACGAAAGUGCUAUAUUGUCUAUUUUGCAACUUUUUUGCAACUAAACAAGGCCUAAUUAAACCGUCCUUAAAAGAAACAAGAGACGUCCCUAAAAAAUAUUUCUGUACUAGUGUAAAUAAAUACUAAAGAUUAUAUUUUAAAUAAAAGAGCAGCGUAAGAGUUUGGACUUAGCACUAUUCUAGUAAAAAAAAUAUAGCAACUAUUAAGAAAAAGAAAUGGAACAAGUGGAUCGUACGAUAUAUAUAAUAUGCGACUACAGUAAAAAGCACUGCACAAAUUACACGCUCGUUUUCAAUUGUUAUAUUUGCUACUGGUUGCUGGUGGAAUCUGAUCUUCAACAUGCCCCCAGCCCCCCACCCAUCGUGGGCAAAUGCGAUAAUGGUUUGCAGCCUUUUUCUAUAGUUUAUUACCGCUUCGAAAGUUUUUUACACGUGUAGAUGACUUAAAAAAUUGUGUUCUUUACACUUUCACAGAGCGCAUACUUAUUUUCUUUAGGAUUCGGUAGGGACGGAAUGGCGAAAAGGGUAGAAGCGUGGCUUUAGCCUAGGCCUUGUUUAGUUCUGAAAAAUUUUAGGAAAUCGACACUGUAGCACUUUUGUUUGUAUUUGAUAAAUAUUAUCUAAUUAUAAACUAACUAGACUCAAAAGAUUCGUCUCGUCAAUUUCGACUAAACUGUGCAAUUAGUUUUUAUUUUCGUCUAUAUUUAAUACUUCAUGCAUGCGUCUAAAGAUUUGAUGUGACGAGGAAUGUGAAAAAUUUUGCAAAAUUUUCUGGGAACUAAACAAGGCCCUACUUUUGCCAUUUGGAUUUGCCAUUUACUGAGGUCUUGUCUGACCAUAGUCCGAAAUGUUUUUGGAUUUCGCUAUAGUGUAGCACUUUCGUUUAUUUAUGGUAAAUAUUGUUUAAUUAUGGACUAACUAGGAUCAAAAGAUUCAUCUCGUGAUUUAUAGACAAACUGUGUAAUUAGUUUUUGUUUUCGUGUAUAUUUAAUACUUCAUGCAUGUACCGAAAGAUUCGAUGUGACGAGAAAUCUUGAAAACUUUUUGGUAGAAACUAAACAAUGCCUCAGUUAUUAUUCACCUCGUUCUACGUACGUUGAGGUAGACAGUAAUUGAAUAUUUAUUAAUUUUCCAUCCCAAUUCAUCCUAGCACAUGUGUGGUAAAUACGAGCGCAGCCAGGCUUUGUUUACUUAUAAAAUAUUUUGUAAAAUGUGAAUAGUACUAAUUUUAUUUGUAUUUGACAAAUAUUGUCCAACCAUGGACUAACUAGGCUCAAAAGAUUCGUCUCGUCAAUUCCGACCAAACUGUAUAAUUAGUUUUUAUUUUGUCUACAUUUAAUACUUUAUGCAUACGUAUAAAUUUUGUAAAAUUUUUUGGAACUUAACAUUUAACAAGGCCGUAAAGGUCGAUGAUGUUUGACGGAUGGAAUGGAACUGGGACAUGAUGCUGGACGACAUUCAAGUGGAGGUCGAUGGAUGGGCUGAGCCUGAGAGGUCGCCGUAGUGCGUGUGCGUCUCAGUUUCACCACACAUGUCUCACUCCGGGUCUCUGAUAAUAAGGUGCACUAGCACGUGCCGUCCGGCGUGCAUGCAGGCGCACUAGUUAUCGCGCGUCCUCUCUCUUCCGCCCCUUCUGGGCGCUCUCUCACGGUGGAUUGAUAUAUAUUGAUGGUGUUAUUAAAUUUCCGGCACCUCAUGAUUAAGGCCUUCAAUUAGUUUCCAAAAUUGUUCAAGAUUUUCCAUCACAUCAAAUCUUUAGACACAUACAUAAAAUAUUAAAUAUAAAUAAAAAAUAAUUAAUUACAGAGUUUGUAUGUAAUUUAUGAGACGAAUCUUUUGAGCUUAGGUAGUCCAUAAUUGUAUAAUAAUUAUCAAAUACAAACAAAAGUGCUAUAGUAGCUAAAGCCAAAAAUUUUUCCAAACUAAACAAGGCCUAAAUUAAAUCAUAUACUCGACGAGCGGGAGUCGUGAGUGCAAGCAAUUAUUAUUAGAUAUAAAGCACACUAAACUUGAUCCUCGACCGUUAGUAGUGUCUCCACAGAUAAUUCGCACGUUUCUUUCGUUGACAGAUUGAACACACUAGAAAUAACGUAGUACUGGUAUAUAGGCAUUAAUUAUUACUAGUACACUAAACCGAUCAUGAAUUACCAUGCAUUGGUCGUAAAACAACCCUGUUUCAUUGUUGUUUUAGAAAAUCGGCAGCGUAUAUGAUAAGCGACAGUACUAAUAUACAGAGAAAAUUUGUUAUCAUUAUCGGUUUUGGCGUACAACCAGCAGUGUGAUACAUGUACAAAUUAUCACUUCGUUUGCAUUGGUAUAUAUUACGAAUCACACAAACAGUGGUGAUCUGUAUAGAGUACAUCACUAGCGGGUUUGUAGCUUAUGAUUAAGGGCUAGUGAUCGAUAGUACACGGAUGCUGUUCUUUUUUUUCCCCCUAAUACACUACUACAUGGUCGUGUCGUGCCUCACGUAAAGUUUGUAUAUAACCAUAGUUGGUUCAUUCGGUAUCACAGUGUAGUCUGGAUGUGCAGAGAGUAGUCUUUGUCGAAUGGAAGUUAAUAAAGCACGCAUCACUAUCGUUUUAGGAGCACUUGAACUUGGCCAGAAAGCUAGAGCCAUUAGAUAUACUACAUAUUGGAGAUAGUAGAUGAUAGGCACACACACACACACUCCGCCCAAAUGCACGCACGCACGCCGGCCGGUGUCUUUGUCUGCUCGGAAUCAUGUCAUCUUCCGUUGAAGCACGCGGGCUAGCUCUGGCCGCCGGCACGGCAUUCUGGCAGCGGCCGGUCGCCACGGCCGGCCCACGGCGGGCGUUGGCGUGAUGCAUGCGCUCACUGAUCCAAUUCAAUGUUUUCCACAAGUUUUGAUGCGCGCGGCGGCACUUUAUUUAGCGUUUAGGCAAGGUAUGGAAUGGAAUCAUAUACUGUACUACGCAGCACACAUCACAUCGUCGUUGCAGUUGCAUGUACUGUAUGAAGUAUGGCGGAUUCGAGCAAACAAAACAAAACUGAGGACUUGUUUAGUUCACUCUGAAAACCAAAAAGUUUUCAAGGUUCUUCGUCACAUCGAAUCUUGUGGCACAUGCAUGAAAUAUUAAAUAUAGACAAAAAUAAAAACUAAUUACACAGUUUAGCUGUAAAUCACGAGACGAAUCUUUUGAUCCUAGUUAGUCUAUGAUUGGAUAAUAUUUGUCACAAAUAAACGAAAGUGCUACAGAUUCGUCGUCGUCUUUUCUCCCGUCCGGCGCGGCCGGCCGGUGUGCCGACCUGCAGCUCCUACUAUAGGAUAGGAUAUAUAUAGGUCGCGACCUUGUUUAUUUCCAUAAAUUUUUAAGAUUCUCGUUUAAUCAUAUCAAAUUUUUAAACACAUAUGCAUUAAAUACUAAAUAUAAAUAAAAAACUAAUAACACAGUUUGUCUAUAAUUUGCAAGAUGAAUCUUUUGAAUCUAGUUAGUUUAUAAUUAGAUAAUAAUUGUUAAAUACAAACGAAAAUACUGUAGUAGCCGAAUUUUAAAAAAAAAAAUAUUCUCAAACUAAACGAGCCAGCGCUGCUUGCAUGUUCUUAUAUAUCCGGCACAGAUCAUAGCAAGCAACAGGACAAAGAAACAAACGUGUGGUGUUCCCCAGGCAUCUUGCAUAUAUAAUAAGGAAAAAAAAAAAGGAGUGAACACAUAUGUGUAUGUGCAAUGUUCAGUCAUUAUCAGGUAGCGGCAAAUCAGAAAACACCGCCCGUCUCUGUAGCAUACCAGAAGGAGGAGAAUUCGUGGUUUAAUUACUUUCCUUCGUUCUAUGACUUUCGCGCAUGCGCGUACGUACGUACGUCCAGAAAUUGCUCAUAAGGAAUUUGUCUACGAAUUGACACAAAAGAACAAUUAAACUGACGCUUCAUUUGGAAUAUUUCGCGCGCAGAAUAAUGUUGAAGGACGUAACUAAUUGGUUGCGCAUGAAUAAAGCCAUGUGGCGCAACUGGCAAAAUGCCAAGGUACAGCAUAAUGCCCAUGACACUAUCAAAUUAUAAGCACCGAUUAUCGUCUAUGUACGGACAACAGAGAGGAAGAAUCGCUCUGAAGGUCUAAAAACUUACCACAUUAACUCAAGAAAAUAUCAUCAUUCUCAUGUACAUUCUAUAUAUCUUAAUUAUACUUUUAAUCUCGACUAUCAUUCUAUCUUGUCAUGCAUGCAAAAUGUCCAAUUAGCAUCCACUAACGGUUCUGUUCCACCAUGCCAUCCAAAGGGAGCCGAGGAAGACACGCUAGCGGAGCGAGCGGUCCUAGCAUGGAUGGUUGGGAAGGGGGUAGCGAUCCCUAGGCAGGAGUGAGGCUGUCAUGGCAAGGUGUGCAAAGGCUGCUAGGGUGAGCUGUGUGAGGUUGGGCUAUGACUGCAAAUGGAAUGCAAAUAUUGCCGCAAGGGAACGAGUUUGGUCCGGCUAUUGUGAAGGGAAACCUUGGGAUAGUGAUCGAAUAAUUUUGCCAUAGAGCGGUUUCUGGAACCCCAACUUGUGAGCUUCAUAUUAUUUGCAAUAUCAUAUUGUUGUUUGAUCUUGUUUGUGUUCUUCGAUUCACAUACUCCUAUAGAGAUGAAAGAGUGACGGGUAUGUGCAUGGCAGCAGAUAGUCUAUGGACGGCGGCACCCGUGUGAACAAAAGGGUUAACGCAAAAAAGAGAGAGAGUUGUGGGUCAUCAUCUUUUUGUAUUUUAGGUCUUGUUUAGUUCACCCUGAAACCAAAAAGUUUUCAAGAUUAUUCGUCACAUCGAAUCUUUCGGCACAUAUAUGAAGUAUUAAAUAUAGACGAAAAUAAAAACUAAUUGCACAGUUUAACUAUAAAUCACGAGACGCAUCUUUUAAUCCUAGUUAAUCCAUAAUUGGACAAUAUUUGCCACAAACAAACGAAAGUGUUACAGUAGCGAAAUCCAAAAUUUUUUCGCAUCUAAACAAGGCCUUAGGAAGCUAGUAUAGGAAAAUAUUGGAGAGAGAGGGAUAAAUUGCGGUUGCUACUUAUUUAGUUAACUUGUUAAUGCCAUUGGUUUAGUAAUUGAGUUUUACACAGCUCCUUGAGUUGCUCUUGGUUGGACCAAAAAAUCUAACUAAAUUUAUAUAAAAAAUGGAACACCCAUCAAGCCUAUCUCUUGAUGGAAAUCCUAAGUAAGAAAGCACUCGGUGAGCAAGGUUCAAAAAGAUACCUUUCAAACCAACUCCUUCAAAGAGUCCAAGGACAAGCACCCCUAUAUUGUUUUUGCAAUUGUUUUGCCUUUGGGUGAGCUCAACAAAGUAUAGGCUCAGGUUGGAUUUGAUCAAUCGAGGAGGAAGAAAGGUUAUAGAGGGUAUUUUUUGGCGGUGAUUUACUUAAGCCAACUGUCUCCAGAAAUCUCCUAUUUCUUGGGAUUGUUGGCUUAAGUGAACUAAACUUGGAAAAUAUAGUUUUUAGGGUAAAAGUGAAUACAUUUCUAGGGGUGGUUUUCUAAAUAGAAUCAUCUCAAAAAAAAAAAAUUAAGUUCGAGUGCAAUUUGUUGCUACAAUAUUGCACGGUUGGUGGUUUGCUAUGUGAAACUGAAAAGUAGGAGACAAAUGUAAAAAACAUUGUCUACUGGUGAAUGGCAUGAAAAAAAAAACAAGGAGCAGAUAUUCCAAGUUUGUUGCGCGCUAGAAAUAGCUGAUAUGCAGUUAUUUGCUUCUUUUGGAUGGCCACAUACUGUACUUCCUCCGUCCACAAAUAAAUGCACGCCUCAUUUUCCAAAGAGUCAAAUAUUUUAAGGUUUGACAAAAUACAUACAGAAAUAUAAUAAUGUCUAUCAUAUGUAAUAUGUAUCAUAUUAAGUAUAAAAUAUAUUUUUAUAAUAUAAUUAUUUGCAAAUACAAAUAUUAAUAUUAUUUGAUAUAUUUCUAAUCAAGCUGAACGUGCAUUUAUUUAUGAAUAAAGGAAGUAAUUCUGUUUGGUCCAGAAGAAGGUACAAAUAUUUCUUAUCUGACAUGUGCUAGUACGUCAUGAUCUCACAAACUAAAUCACGUACGGAAGCCAACUACUACUCGUCCUGUCCUGUGUCGUCAACGCGUACAGGCGUAUAUAUAGCCACUGCCUAUAAAACAAUUCGUCUGCACUCUGCAGGGUCAUCAGUCAACGGUCAGUCCACUGCUGAGGCAAAAUUAAAGGCUGCUCAACCAAGAGAGUACAAACAGAGGCCUCUAACCUGUGUGAUUUUUCGAUCGUAAUACUAUACGUGUGUGUUUUGUCAGUGGUACAUGCAGCUCGGGCGGUGCAGUGGGAUAAACGCGCAGGCAGACUCUCAUCAGCUAGCUAGGUAGCCAAACCACCACCAAGUGGCCUAUCAGAUCGAGAGUCUCUCGGCAGACCAACGUGCCGACGACACCCGACAGCGAGACCUACCAUUUCCCCGGCAGCACGCGCAGGCACACAGGCAGUCAAGUUGACAACUCAAGACCACAGGCCAUCAUCAUUCAUAAUAAUCAAAUUUGUUGGGAUAAACUUCCUCCGUCUCAAAAAUACCGUUGUUAUUGACUUUCAGACAUCUUGUUUGACCAUCCGUCUUAUUUCAACUUUCUUAUAGAUAUCAUUUAUUUUAAUAUGAUUUAUUUGAUCAUUAGAGAUACUUUAAUAAUGAUCUAUCUAUUUUAUAAUUUGCACAAAAAUUUUGAAUUAGAUGAGCGGUCAAAUAUGAUUGGUCAAAGUCAACAACAAUGGUCUUUUUGAGACGGAGGGAGUAUCUAUCACGCGCAAAACUCACACACGCUUGAGCGAUGAUAGGUUCAUGAUGAAUGGCUCUUUAAUAUACCCCCUCCAUAUCCUAGAAUACUUGACGUUCUAGGAGUAAAAAAAGCUAAAAAAAAAAGCUUGAUGCUUUAGCUGUUGGACUAUAUAGAUUGGGCUAAUAUCUCAGCUUGAGAUUGUUGUAGGUUGCAUGCCUCCAUUCAUUUUUUUAAAGAGGGGUUUAUUCCUCCUUAGUUAGCAUGGUCACCUUUAACAAAUAGAGGUACAUGGGUAAUUUUUGUUGAACAUUAUCCUAAAAAUAAAAAUCAAAAACAUUUUUUUUUUGAGGUGAAGGGAGUACUAUAUAGAUAUAAGGUAUGUUUGGAUUCAUUAGCACUAAAAAUUAGCUAGCUAUUAGCUAAUAGUUGCUAAAUUUUAGCUAUCUAAUUUUUAUUAGUAGGAGGCUGUUUGGAUCCACUUGCUUAUAGGUGGUUGGAUAGUGUGGUAAAGGUGCAAACAGACUAUUAUUAGCACCUAUUAACAACUCCAAACCUGCUAAGGGCACUAACAAUAGUGUAUUAAUGAUAGUUUCUAUUUCUAUUAAUUACUUUGCCAGCUAAGCAAAAAUCUGAUGUGGCAACUUAAUUAAUGAAGAAAGAGAGUAAAAUUUGAUGAAACCGUUUUCUCCGGGAGAAAACACGUCUACUCGUCGACCGAGGAAUGGAGAAAUCGCUAAUUUGGCGUUGGGAGGAAACGCCAUCCGGCAGCGGCCCGCGACAGGACUCUCCUCCGCACGAGCAGCCGCUCGGUGUGCCGCCGUCGCCCAAUCUAUGCCCGCCACGCUGCCGUCCCCGCUGCGCUCGCCAUCUGCACAGGCCCCUCGCCGUCGUCAGCCGGCUGCGUGCGCUCGCUCACUGGCUGCCGUGGCUACUCACCCACGGGCCGUCGCGCAUGCUCGCCCACGUCGCCGUUGUGUCCCAGGCUGCGCUCACCGUCCGCUCAGACAUCGCCCUCCGCGCUCGUCAUCCGCACAAUGCAAGCCGCAUUUGCUGCCGUCGAGCAUCUCGCCGCACGCUUUACCUCCCGUCUCCCGCCACCUCCGAGCUGCAGGCGGGCCUCGCAUCAAGCAGCAACUGGUGGUGCAGCAAUGGCGAUGGUGUAGCACUCUGCACUCGGAGUCCUGAAGUACAAGGAGGCACACCGCGAGGAGCCUUCUUGCGUUCGCUGCUCUGUUCUAAGCUCAUGCCUAACCGCUAGAAGAAAGAGGAUGGAGAGAGAGAGAUAGAAAAAUAAGCAACAUUUAUUAGACAAAGAAACUUGCAUUGUGUGGUAUAAUUUCUAUAGAUGAUUUCUUCCUGAUUUGGCUGUUAUAGAAAUCGUGACUGGUUUCAACCAUUGGGACUGCCCUAAUAUAACUAACAGUUAACAACCCUCUAGCUAAUAACUAGCAUGUUUGUGUGGAUCCAAAAAUAUUAAUUUUCCCAUAGAUGUGCUAAAGAGCUAUCUAUGUGGUGAGGUGUCGUCAGAGGCUGACGGGGUGUUUAGAACUGCUCCACAAAUUCUGCUCCACAAACUCCAUCAUGGAGCAGCUCCAUAAAAAAACUGGAGUUUGUAGAGUAUCUCGGUGCUCUCACAACUUCACACUUUUUUCUCGAACUGAGUGCGUGAAGCUAAAACUGUUUUGGCUAAAAAACAUGAAGCCGAGCUGAAAAACUUGAGGCAGGGCAGUCCCAAACACCCCCUUACUCCUACUUGACAACUUCCCGGCCGUGUCAAUCUAUCGACCUGAUUGUCUAUUACUAUCUUUUAUCCUGUAAGUAAAUUAUCUUUGUGCCUUUCACUUCUCACCUUUGGGGGGACAUCUAGCUAGACGGUGUUCUAGCAGCGUGUUGCGGAAAAAUAAACUUGUGCGCGAAAAUCCAUACAACACACAUAGUCAAAACAAUGAACCGUGUUUUGCUUGACCUCGAUGGGUUACGUGACUAACCACUUCUCUAAACAUUUGAAUAACCGUUUAAAACCAAAAUAUGCUCUGGCUUUAUAUGUGUGAUCCCGCUACACGCCGUAUGACACGACAUUGACCGUAUGAACAAGAAAGUGCAUCCAAUAAUUGAUCAGGACAUGUACUACUCUAUAGUAGUGCACGCAUGCAUGUUCCAAUAGUUCAAUGGCCAAAGACAUCGCUGUCGACGCCAACCAAUGUUCGAUCCGAGCAACUUUUACAAAAAAGUCUUUACGAGAUAGCUCAUAUGAUUGCAGAUGAUCAACUCAAAGCAAAACGCUUUUUGACUUGUCAAGAGGUUAUCAAAGGACAACUAGUGAAGGUGGUAUAUUACCAAGAUACUGAUGAGUAGAUCUCAAUGGACAGAUGAAGAAAACAAUGCCUUCAUUUCCUACAAAAUGCAAAACGUUCACCCGUGCAAGGUUCAACCCUACUAAAGUGUAGUUCCAACCUGUUUGGUGAAGACUGAUGUGCUUCAUCGAUCGUGCAUGGGCAUGUCCAAUGUAAACAUGAUACUAGCUAAUAUAUAUAUAACGUACGGAAGAUCUCAAUAGGAUCCAUCAACUUGUACCACCUUUUUAUUAUGUGUUUGUUCAAAGUACAAAAGCUUAUGCAAUAUGAAUGCGCGCUUAUCCUAUUCGCUUGAACUUAUCAGCAUGGCUUAUCAGCCACUGUACUGUGUUUUUCUCUCAUAAUAAAUCAGCGAACAUUAUAGUUCAGCUGGCUCUAGACAGAUCAACACUACACUUCUGUUUUUCCCAACUCACAUACACAGCUUGUUAUCAGUCUCUUCAUACAUCCAAAUGAGAUAUUGUACAAAACAGACAGCAUGCAUGCCAUCAGCCUUUUCUUCUCAAAAGAUGAUCUGAUAGUUCGUCGUGGUCUAAGAAAACUGCCGCGGCUAAAGUCAUGGAUUAGGUGUGGGAAGGUGCGGACAAGAUUGCAAAGAAAUGGUUUAGAACUUUGCUGUUGAAACGUAGUAGUGUAUAUUAAUUGCUUUUUUGGAAGAAUAGAUGAUGCAACAAGAUCAAAUGGUCAAAAAGGUCAUGGCAACUUGCGUUGCCAUCCUUGCAUCUAUCGUCAAAUAGAUAGCAUAAAUCAAUCAUCAUAUAUGAGUCCUAAAAAAUAUAGAGCCUACAGAAAAGGAGCAAAUAUAUUAUAUGAACUAUGAAGUGAUCAACAAGUGAGAACAAAUAAGGUAGCACCUUAUGGCAUAGUCAUCACAGCUGCAGGUGGUGGUUUCACAUUUCUAGAGGCGGACAACACAAUUUGAUAUAAGUGAACAACAACAAGAACAGGGGCCCUCAUUCAUAGGAGUCGAUCUUGGUGAUACAAGUGUUAUGAAUAAUGUCCGUUCCAUGAGAAAAACAAGAACACAACAAAACUCAAACAGUAACAAGUGCGAUGAUGGCUAAUUAUAAUGUCUUGGGCGUGCAAACCCCGAGACGCAUCCCCUAAUGGGCUCUAAGAAGAACCACAUCCAAACGGACCAAAAGACGGUGUCAUAGCACCCUACAGAUUCUAGAUGCUGAAGCAUUUUGACCAUUCCUGUUGAUUUAGGAUGUAUUUUGCAAACCAAAGCCACUGGUUAGCUUAUAAAAUUAUCUUUCACUGCACAUGUAGAUUAUUCGAAACAGAGUCUAUAUUCAUCUUGGGCGUCCAUUUUACCCCGACUGCUCUUGGACUCCGAGAUGCACUCCAACUUGAGUUAUUAGAUUCAGCCUCCGCUAUGACUUGGAUGACUUGAGCUCCCAUGCUAGUCCCGGUUGUCUCCAUGGCUUACAUCAGUAAACUCCACAAGAUUGGAGGUGGGCUCAUGAAUCCAAGUGAUCUCUACCUCGUCUAUGAUGAAAUCAACUUAGAAACAAUGGUGGAAAUCAAGACUUGUUGUAUUAGUUUGCAAGUUGACCAAUAGUGAGCUGGUGGAGUGGUUAGGGAGGUCCCUCGACCCUAGGGUCUAUAGGGCCCCUCCGCUAGAGGGGGGCUUGGUCCACCUGUCAUCUGGCACUUCUUGGUUUGUUGGAUCAAUUGGUGAUGCGAAGGAUUAUAUGUUUGUGAGUCCUUUGGUCCUUGUGCAAUGCACAUCUGCCAACUAGAGAAAGAACAAACUACUCUAACGGUUGAGAGUGCUUAGAAACAUGUUUCCUCGGUUUCCACCUAGAUUAGGAGCAAGUAGGCCCACUAGUAGGGUCGACCGACCCCAUCUAGGGUGGCCCAACCCUAGGGGUUUGCCCAAAUGGCCCCACUUUGCUUCAUACAUAGAAAAACUCCAUAUACAUGUAGAACUUUGUUAUUUGAAUAAAAUAUGUUCAUGCAAUGCUCAUUUCUUUUUAUUUUAAGGUAUGUUGAUGGUAUUCUCAUGGUGUAAAAAUGUGUCAUAACAAAAAACAAGAACUAUUGUUCACGUGGACAAACUAUAAUGCAGAAUAUGAGGCAACAAUGCUUGGACAUAAAAAAACUUAUGACUUGAGACAAAUGAUGACAAUUUUCAAGACAGAUUAUCAAGUAGUCACCACUUUCAUAAAAAGAGUAUGAAGAAAUACAUCCUAAAUCAGCCAAGUACCUAUACUAUAAGAGUAAUGGAAAAACAUUUUCUUAGGGUUACAACAAAGAGCAUUCCCAGGAUAGACAACAACGAAGUUGACGAUCUAGCAAAUCAACAGGAUAGAAGCUACCAAUCCCACUAGACGUAUUCUAUGAGAUAUCUGGGCACCUAAUUGUAAAAGUGAUGACAAACCAGUAAAUUUUAUCAGCGCAAUCAAUAGCAAAGAUUAGAGAGCACUGUUGAGACUUCUUAGCGCAAUCAUCAAAGAUAGACAAAAAGCCUAGUCCCCGGCAACGACGCUAGAAAACUUGUUGACACUUCUUAGCGCAAUCACCAAAGAUAGACAAAAAGUCUGGUUCCCGGCAACGGCACCAAAAAGCUUAUUGGGUAUUUUAAACGCACACAGAAAAAUCCGCAAGCGCAUGGAUACUGAUUUAGCUGUCAACCCGAAAGUAUUCUAGAGUAUCGAUUUUCACAGGGAACAUGAAAUGUAUUAGAGAAUCAAGGCCGUCCAAAGAUAAAGAUAAGAGAAGAAAUAUAUAUUUUUGGUGGGUGGAGAGGAACCUUCUAGUGUUUUCUAAGUUGAGUGGGUGAUCAAAAUCAGGCUUACUUCACUCUACCUACUAUGGAGCAAUAGUACCUUUCCGACUCUCAGCAGAGACUAGGAAAAAAGUAGUCGAGGGAAGGCUGCCAAAAAGCUCUAUGAAACACCAACCCGAACGUGGUGGAAUACAAAGGCCUGACGGAGCUGUCACCUCUGGGGCUAUCAUAACUAAUUGUGGGAUUAGGCACAAACUCAGGUAAACUCUAGUGUAGACACCACGUCUACACUAGCAUUUACUACUCUAGUUACCUUAAGAAUAACUAGAGCACUCAAUACGAGCAGAGAUCUAGUAAGUAUAAUUAAGCAAGAAUUAAAUAAAAAACUGAACUUAGAAAUAAUAAUUAAAGAACCUGGAGAUUGCUGAGCGACGAACCAGAUGCUGCAAAAGUACAAUAUUGAGGAAGAUCCAACAGAUCUAGCUCCUCCUCAGCUCUCUCCUCCUCUAUCCCUUUAUGACUUGAUGAACUAGACUACAACUAGAUGAACUAGAACUAAAACUAGAAAAACUAUAACUAGAAGAUCUAGAGGAACCUCUACUUCUCUACUUGAUAAUGAAAAUAGACUUCUCUCUUGCUCUACUUCUCUACUUAAUGAAAAUAGACUUCUCUCUUGCCAGAAGGAAAAUAGACUGAAGAGUAGUAUUUAUAAUAAUGGAAUAGGUGGGUAAUUUAGAUUUAAAUUUAGGAGGGUUAGUUUAGGUUGUCAUAAGGGAAAGUUAUGUAAUAUAGAUGUAGAUCUAUGAAUUACUAGAGCAGCUCCAACAACUUGACUAAAAUUAGUUGUUAAAUUCUAUUGUUUAGCCAUUAUAUAAAACAGAAAAACUUCCCAAAAAGAAUCUAUAAUAGUCUUGCUAUUUAACAAAGUCAUAUAACCAGUGCAUGUGGUUGGCCAUAUAUGGUCACCGAAAAACAAAGGAUAGCCAGCUUUCUAUUUUACAAAAUUAGAUAGUACAUCUGUUGGAACCAUUUUUUUAUACAAAUUCUAAAAUAAUCUCAACAAUAACAAUAUCCAAGCUGUUGGAGUUUCUCUUAGGAUAGUUCUUUAUAAUGAUAAAGAUGGGUAAUUUCAUAGAGCAAACAAACCUAGUUAUGACUUAUAUUUAAUGACAAUUAGAGUACAUAGUAUGCAAAAAAUGAUCAUAGCGUUUGUGCAAUGCGGAAUUUCUUUGAUUUAUCUUUUCUUCUCACGUCUAUGGUUCAUUGUCUUGAACUUUUGGCAAAACGUCCUUUUCUCCAAUUAGUAGUUAAUGUUUUUGAAAUGAUGCUUUCGACAUAUAUAUGUUCCUCUUUGUCAAAAAAAUCCUGUCUAUUCCACUAAAGUUAGUGUGUGAGGAAGACCUAUACCGUGACCGAGAUUAUAAAGACAGUCUGUGAUGAGGACCCAUAUCAGUGACAAAAAUGGGACCUGUCUCAAAUGUGAUGACAUGUCUUUAGCGGAGAUCACAUUAGAGACAUGUCUUGUCUACACCUCUAUCAGAUGAGUUGAUAUCGCAUCAUAGACGGUCACAAUGUAGUUUGGUCUCUGAUGAUAGGCAACCGCACCCCCGCCGUCACAUCCAGAAUCAGGGACGUGUAAGAUUGACCUAUCUCUAAUUAGUUAUCAGAGACACAUGUUGUUGAUCCGUCUCAGGUAUAGCAUCUUCUCAUUUCUAACAUAGUUUUGGAUGGUUCACAGACGCAAACUAGCAAUUCCACAUGAUCUCACUCGCACACACAUCCCGUGCACUGCAGAUGAUCAUAACAAGUAAGUGGCAAAAAGUAUAGCAGCUUAUCGCUACCAGCGAAGUUAGGAAUAUAGACCUAAUUUCUUAGAGCUAGAUCCUGCUUAAUCGAACCAACUAAUGGAGCAAUACAGUCGCCAGGUCACCUCGCUCGUUAGUAUUCGGAAAUGGUCCAGCAGAGAUUUGGUGUAGAUGCUCACAGUCCUCUGUCGUUUUUCACGAAUCUCCCUCCACGUUCUCCGAAGCUAACCGCUGAACGGCCGGUAGACCUUGAGGGCAUCGACGACGUCGGCGAUGGAACCGGCGGCGGCGGCAAUGGAGACGAGGAGGCAGGUGACGCUAAGCGUCUGGAGACACAACCACUUGGUGCUGCCCCGCGGAACGCGGCGCUGCUUGAUGUACAUCUCGACGGGGAAGUAGACGGUGAGCGGCCAGAACGAGACGGCGCCGAGGAGCCCCACCACGUCGCCGAAGAACGGCAGCAGCAUGGCCACGACGGUGGUGACGCACACGAACGCCGACCGCCAUGUCAGGCGGAACACGCUGAGCGCGAAGGGGCCCACGCGGAGCUCCCGUGAGAUGAAGGCGCUGUCCGGCCAUGCCGCGGCGGCGCGGCGCUCGACGAAGGCGAAGAUCGGCUGGCAGAACACCUGGUAGGCGCCGACGAGGUGCACGACGAUGGCGAUGUUGGCGAUGUCAAGAAGCCAGAAAGGCUCGUAGAAGCCGAAGCCGGUGAGCAGGUUGUCCGGCGCGGCGUCGCCGAACGCGGCGUACCCCAUGCACCCGCACAGCAUGUAGAAGAUGGUCGUCGUCGCCACGCUGAGACGCGUCGCCUUCUGCAUCACCUUCGACUCCGACGGUGGCGGCGCCUUGAUCGUGUCCUGAACAAGAAACCAGAGAGCAGAAACAGGCUUCGUUAGAAACAGGGGAAUCCAGUUGCAGAGAGAAUAGAACAGUAGUGUAUGGUUUUUACUUGGAUUUCGAUGAGGAUGUUGGAGAAGGAGUAGGCGAAGGCGAUGUCGCCGAAUGCCUGCAGGGUGUGCCAGAUUUUCUGCGUCGAGGUGACGCCGGCGCCGAUGCUGACGCCAGUGAGGCUACCCUUGAACCCACCAUGGGCUGCAAACAAUUGCAUCGAUCGAGCACAUGUCAGUAACCAAGAAUCCAAGAAUCCUAAUCACCAAAUCUGAUUGAAGAAUCAUUGACUUACAGACGGUCUGUGCGAUGCCGAGGGAGAGUCCGAUGCUGGAGUAAGUGAAGGACAUGACGGCGGCGACAAUGGAUAGCCACCAAAUCUGAUCGAAGUCCGGUAUCUGCGAGAAGAGAAUCUCCACAACGCCGAAGAGGAUCAUGUACGGGGUGCUGGAGCUCUUGCAGGGAUCCUCAUGUCCAUGGCUGUGGAAGCACCCAGCUCUCCUGAUGGCCUUCAUGCUGAUGGACGACGCGAUGGUGUAGCCAAUGGCGACGCCGACGAGGUUAGCAUACUGUAUAAUACCGCAGAACACGACCUUGGCGCCGCCGAGGUUGGAGCGGACGGCGUCCAUGUAGGUGUAGUUGCGUUUGCCCGUCUCCGGGUCGCCCGUGCGGUAGCACUCGGCGAGCAGCGUGGCCGUGUAGUAGGUGACGAAGGCGAAGAGGAGCAUGGCGGUAGGGCCGGCGACCCAGCCGAGCUGCGCGAUGGCCCAGGCCAGGGAGAGCACGCCGGAGCCGAUGACAGCGGUGAUGAUGUGGGCGCUGGCCGUCCAGAACGUGCCGGUGCGACGAGGGCGGCCGUCGUCGUCCAGCCACGCGGCGGCACCGGCGUUGCCGGCCUCGACUGACACCUCCAUGGGCGCAACCGAGUGCAUGUUACUCACUCCGUUGUGCGCUGCCGGUGCCAUGGCCACUGAGCGAGAGCGAGCGAGCUCUGAUCCCUCUCUCGGAUUUCUUCUUCCUCUUCCUCCUCUCAGGGAGCUAGGUGAUGCGAGAAGCUGUGUGGGAGAAGUGUGCUCAGGGACGAGGAUAUAUAUAGACAGAUAGCUCGAGAGCAGGGAGUAGGGCAGUAGGCAGAGGUCUCUGUGUGCGUCUGCUUUCUAGUCAACGCUGCCGUUUUGGGUGUGUAUUUAUUUAUUUAUUUAUUUAUUUCCAUUUUUCUUUUCUCACUUUUUUUUUAUCCUUUGCGGCUGUGCCUUGGGUUGUCAUGCUAUAUCUCCUCGUUGGACUUUGAGUGCUUGGUUACAUCACUCUAUCUCUUCCUUGGACUUUUGUUGCUGUGCCUCUCUCUGGUCAACGGUGUUUGAACUCUGCUGGUGUGGGUCACGGUGUGCUUAGCAUUGUCUUGUGUCAGCCAUUGAUGAGACAUCCUCUUCUCCUAAGUUUAAGUACUCUCUCCAUUCCAAAUUAUGUCAUUUUAAGUUUCUUAGAGAGUCAAAAUAUCUCAAGUUUGAUCAAACUUAUAUAGUAUAAUAAUAACAUUUAUGAUAGUAACAAGUACAAUUAGAUUCUUCAUUAAUUAUAUUUUUAUAGUAUAUACCUAUUUAAUGUCAUAAACUUUUAUAAUGUUUCUUAUAGUUUUGGUCAAACUUGAGAUGCUUUGAACUAGAAUGGAGGGACUAUAUGUAUAAGCACUCAUUAUUGUCAAAAUCUUUUUGAAUAUUGUUUUGAUUUGUUUAAAAAAUUCAAUGGAUUUGCUUUGAAUGGUUUGGCAAAAUACAAACUUUGUUAUGUUUUAGACUGGUGAUGUGUGGGUGUAAUUGGUGUCUUAGCCACUUUGUCAAUGUCCGAAACGAUCCUCUCUCUCUCUCUAUCUCUGCAAGAAUGGCAUGAAAGGGUUAUUAGUAGGCAAGACCGGUGAUAUGAACCAAAUCCAUUAUCCAAAAACCAAAACAUAACUUUUAAUUGAUCACUUGGACCUCUGAUAAUAACAAACCUUGGGCCUUGUUUAGUUCACCCCGAAAACCAAAAAGUUUUCAAGAUUCCCCGUCACAUCGAAUCUUGUGGCACAUGCAUGAAAUAUUAAAUAUAGACGAAAACAAAAACUAAUUACACAGUUUAGCUGUAAAUCACGAGACGAAUCUUUUGAUCCUAGUUAAUCUAUAAUUGGAUAAUAUUUGUCACAAACAAACGAAAGUGCUACAGUUCCGAAAAGUUUUCACUUUUCGGAACUAAACAAGGCCUUGGUCUUCUGUUGCACCAAAUCUGAUUUUAGUUCAGCCACAAAAAUUACUGGCAAGCACGCUACACAUCAGCGGGCUCACAUACUCCGUCUCAUAUAAUGUCCCAUACAAUUUUUGCUUAUGUGGAGAAAAGAGAGAGGUGAGAGAGAAAAAGGUUGUUGUUUCAGGAAACAACCACCUCAUGAGCUAAGGUUUAGGACUAUGAGAAAAUUAUUUUACCAAUUGUAUAAGUUGUUGGUACCAUGCAACUCAUAAAUUACUUUUAUUCUAUAUAUAAAUUAAGAAAUUGUAAGUUACUACGAGAUAGCAUACAAAAUAACAAUUGUACAUGUCGUCAACAAAGUCAUUUUAAAAUUAUAUAGCACUACGUGAGACCACUUAUGAGACAACACCCGUGUACUUACCCUUAACGUUGCAAUCAUUUUGCCAUUUGGACUGGAUAUGGAUGGCGUGUGCCCAAAUGAUUGAUGCCGCUAUUUUUUUUCCAAUUAGUACUGAGGAAGAACAAAACUACACAACAAGUUUUAAGAGGAAACACUUAUGUGAGGGACGACAUCAACCUUGGUGACCAAUUCUCUCUAACAAUUUUGGCACAACUCUAGGAAGAAUCACAAGUGGUGGAACACUGACUUUGGAAGCUCACUGUGUCUGGAGAAUGCUCGGCUUAAUCGGCGUACUUCAUUUCUCAAAAAAGACUAGCUACCUGAUUUGUCAAAAAAAAAAAAAAAAUCGGCGUAUUCCUUGUCGCGGUAAACACGGAGUCGAACAAGCUGAUCUAGAAAACAUGGGCAUCUCCGAAGUCCGAACUGCAUGUUUUUCAGCCUCUGGACUGUCAGGGAAAAAAUGGUCGUUUGUCAGGGACUCUCUAGAAGGUAGGAAUAUAUAUUACGUACUUUAGUUAUUACCCAGAAAAAAGGUCGUGUUUUGGUUUACGGUGAAGUGAGAUUUGAAUGGAAAAAACGCUACGAAGCAUACCUAUGUCAUUAUAAAUACCUAGGCCUUGUUUAGUUCACCCAAAAACCAAAAGCUUUUCAAGAUUUCCCGUCACAUCCAAUCUUACGGCACAUAUAUGGAGCAUUAAAUAUAGAUAAAACAUAACUAAUUGUACAAUUUACCUGUAAUUUGUGAGACGAAUCUUUUAAGCUUAGUUAGUUCAUAGUUAGAUAAUAAUUACCAAAUACAAACGAAAUUGUUACAGUAUCAAAAUUUUUAAAAAAAUGAAUCUAAACAAGGCCAAUGACAAUAAUAUCAUGGUUAAUUAGCAUAUACUAAUCUCUAUACAUAUAUAUAAGGAUACCGUACUAAUUUUCAGAAUCCGCCACUCUACGAAAUGAUGUGAGUGAAGUAAUACACUCUGUUUAGAUAUAAGAAGUUAUUUUGACUUUUUUAGAUACAUAAUUUUUAUUAUGUUUUUAUACAUGUCAUAUAUUUACAUACAUAGCAAUUUUGUACCUAGAAAAUUCAAGACGACCAAAAGUUUGAGACAGAGGUGGUAUUUGCCUAUUUGGUAUUGAAAAUCUACUGUAUGUGUAUCUCACAGAUCGCCAACACACCAUGUGCAUGUGCAUAUAAUUUGAACACGGAAAAGCAAAAAAAAAAAAAAGAAGAUUCGUAGGACUGCACCAGAUGCAUGAUGCAUCAUAUCCAUUCGGCGCACAGUCCCGUAGCUCCUAUCAAUCAUUUGCUCAUCUUAUCUCCACAAUUGCCAAACAAAUAUAUCAUGUAUGUGCGACACACACACGAAAAAGCAAAACACUAAUGAUAUAAGCUGGUGUAGCAUGACAGGACGACACAGCCUAAUCUCUCUCUCUGACUCUGAUUAUGAUUAGCUAGGUUCGUUCCGUUUCAGUGAUGAUUUCUAUACUAGUCAAUUAUGACUGAAAAUACUAUUCACUAAUUUAUUAUUAAUGAAAAAUACUGUUAAAUAAUUAGCAGAUUCGAAGCUCAUUUCAAGCUAAUAAAGAAGCUAGACUUCCACGACGAUGCGUGUGAGGACCACCAGGCCCAACGCGCAAGCACCUCUGCUACCCGCUGGAGCGGAGUGGAGGGAGCGUGUCGGGCUGGGGUCAACGCACGGACACGUUAGAGUCGUUGCGCGUGCGCGAGCAGUGCAUGCGGCGGCGCGACUCCGGCAGCGGCGGCGCGCCCGGAGUCGCCGGCGGUGGCGUUAGGUCACUGACUCGCUGGUGCCCGUGCCACUACUCCCCGGUCGCUGUGGCUGUGUCUUCCGUUUAAUUUGUUCUCCGCAGCUGAGUCUGACGACCCUGACGCUGAAGAUUACUGUACCCAUGAUUUGCAAUGAUGAGAUGAGAACAACAAGUCAUUACCUGCCAUUGUCAUAUGGCCAAGUGCAUCAGAAAAUAAAUCCACAACAUGAAACAUUGCUAGAGCCCACACCAGCUGACGUUAAUUUUACAGAAUGUUGUUUAAUCAAAAUUUUUGGAGAUGCCCAGCCUAGUUCUCGAGAAUUUAAACAGUGUGGCUGACGUAGAAUUUCAACCUAUAGGGUAUGCUAAGCCAAUCCUCCCGUCUAAUUCAAUGCACAUUAUAUCAGCAAGCAAGUAUAAAUCUGUCGAGCAAUUUCGUAAACACCUAUAAAUUUGGCGGAUUUUAUAAAGUUAAAAUUAAUUGACUCCUUAAAAUACGCGAUGAAAAUUAAUUUUGGAGCAGAGGAAAUACAACUCAAUUAUUACUUAUUAGUUGUUCAACAAAUAAAUACGCAUUGUGGCAUGAAUCAUGAUGGAGUAUGAUCUAAUGUAAGUCUUAUGGGGAUGUCCGGGAAGGUCCGGGGUUCAGGUUGUAUGAAUAGCUGUAUUUGCUAACAAAUCAAACACGUGAGAAUCCUUGCCAAGUAUAACGUCAUCACCAUUGAUCUACUUAGCAUAUGCAUUUGACACCUGUAAUCUACUAAUCUAUACAUAGAUAUAAUCAUAAAUUUUUGAAAACAGAUUCCUCCUAUCUACGAUCAGUAAUAAUAUGCGUGAUGUGACUUUUGGAGCUUCCUACUAGCUAGAAAGGACGCUUUCAGAUAGAAAGUUGAUAGAUAGAUUGGCAAAAAGAACGAAGGGGACCCCAAAGCGCUAGCUAAAAUAGAAGCUAGAAAACCAAGUGCUUUGCUCUAUAUCAAUCCUUUAUUACCAGUGGUAGUGGGAACUCUUGGACAGUUGGACGAGACCGAUAGAAACUGGUGAUGCAACCCAAGUUGAAAAAAUUGGAGGUUUGGAGGGGUGAUUUGAUUUCUCAAAAUGGUGCCACUUUUUGAAUGGUCAAAAAGAAAACUUGAUGCUGCCAGCGCGUGCAGUUCACAUGCAUGUAGCAUGUUGGAGGUACUGCUCGAUCAGCGCAGUUGGCCACUUGCAACUGUUCUUGCCACCGGUAGCCCAAUAAUAGCCCACAUGUCGAUUUUAUGCUGGUGGAGAUCUCUCUAAUCGCUUAUUCGCACGAACAAAGACCAGAUUGGGACCAAUGAUCAACCCUUGAUGGUCAUCUCACUAUACAUAUCACACAUCAGUUUUUGCUUAUACAAGGGACGUCAAUCUUUUGUAUUCACCUGCUGCCUAUACUUUAUUGCAGAACUUAUUGGUAAGUUGCAAUCUCGUUGGUGUAAUUCUGUGUUGGCCUGUUGUACGCCUUUAUCUGUUGGUAGAAGCUGGUUGUAGUAGACUAGUAGCAAGUUCCUGGAGGUAGUUUCUCAGGUUGUUGCUUUCGUAUGCCUUUAGCUUGCUAUCUAUUCUAAAACCCUCUUUAAACUCUUGUAUUUCCGUUCAUGGAAUGGGAAUGAGGAUCUCCUCGAGUUGACAAAAAUUAGUCAUUAGUUAGUAAAAUCAUUUUUGGUGCUACGUACAAGAUCCACACUUCCACCUCCAUGCUCAAGUCUGAGAUCCGCUGCCACUUACUUGGCCCACACUUGACAUGAGCCACCACCAUCACCUGACCCUAGCCCGCCACCGUUGAUCUCCACCUUUGUGUUCUGCACUUGGUUGGCGGGCCUCCACCCUCGCGCGCCGCGCUUGGCUAGCAGGCCGGACUCGUGGCGUUCACUCAUUGUGGGGAUUUCUUGUUCUUGCCUCCACCAAGAUAGGGAGAACAAACGUCGUUGGCCAGCUGAUAGUAGAGAGGGACAUAUCAAAGUUGGGUGGGGAGCACCUAGAGCAUCGGAGUGGAGGCGAAAGUAAGAAGGUAGGGGUUAGAAGUGUGUGCGAUAGUGAUACAAAGGGAUGGAAGUAGCUAGGGUUUCUCUCACCCUCUGUUAUAUACCCUUAGGGUCAAGACAGGCUAGCCAUCAAUUAAUGGAGGAGGUUUAUUAUUAACAGGCCUGUCUCUCUAAAAGUGGCUCAUAUAUUUUCAUAGAUGGACCACUUAAGAGCAUGCUCUAUAAUUUAUUUUCAUAGAUAAUACUUUACUAUCAGCAUGCCCGUGUGUUGUGAUGGGAGAAAAAACUGUCAAGCAUUCAUGAAGAAGUAUUAUUUAUGUCUCACUAAUAAAUUAUAAAAGUUAUAAUUUAUUUUGUUAUGACCAUGAUAUUUAUAAUAUAAGCUGAUGUUUUUUCUGCGAGUGAUAAUAUAAGUUAAUGUUGAUAACAAUAUGACAAACUUUCUUCCUUAAAAGAUUGUAAAGUCAUCAUCUACCUGGUGACACCAAAUGUCGAUCAUGCUUAGGUAUCCGCGUCCGAUACGAAUCAUUUUCCACUCAAAACUCACACAUUUGCAUCCUACAUGGUUACAAUACGAAGACCAAUACAUGUGUCUGUGUUUAAUAUGAAGUCCUUGGAGCUCACGCAUCUGUGUCCGAGUACUGAGGUUCAAUCCAAAAAACUGUGAUCCCGGUACAAUGCUUGGGCAUAUAUCUAGCAUACUAUAAAGGCUGACCCUAAUUAAAAUAUAGUCUUGAUGGACUUUUUUCUCAAAUUGGAGAACACAUAAACAUUUACAUGUAGAUAUAUUAUAAAUUUAGUUUUCAUUCUAUCAUGUGUUGAUUAGAUUAUAACUUUAGUUUUCAUUCUAUCAUGUUUCCAUGACCUUUGAGGACUCAUAAAAAUCUAUACUUUAAUAUCUAUUAAAGUCAAUAAGGAGUUAGUUGUUGAUGUGCCAAGAAUACUAUGUCCACUAAUGAUUAGGACAAAAGACCUCUCUUGACUUUUCACAUGGUAGCCCUCAUCAGAGAUUGCAGAGAUACAUUUAUUUAGACGGGAUUAGACAACAAACUGCUCAUGAUUUGUAACACCCAAAAUCUGAUUUUUAAGUAAUAGGAUUUAAUUUGAUUAAUUUGAAUAUUUUGUGAGCAUUUAAAUUAGUAAACAAAUAAAUUUUUGGUUGAAAUUAAAAUUCAUCAUAAGAUUAGAAACAUGUUUUGUGUUCAUGCUGGAGCACAUCUUAUUCUAUGCUUGCUGUUUUUUUUGUGUGAAUUUAUUUGCAUUCAAAACAUCUUUUUGAAAAGGCUUUGGAAAGUAAAAUAAAAAAAAAGAAAAGAAAACCCCAGCCAACCCCUGGGCCCAAUCCCCCUCACUCGGCCCAUUCCCACUCCCGGCCCGCGCGCGCACACUGAUCCCCUCCCUCUCUUCUUCUCUGGCCGACAGCCAGGGGUCCCGUACCUCUUUCACUGAUGCGUGGGGUCCACGUGACAGCGCCUUGGCUUCCUUCCUUUCUUCCUCUCGGGACCGAGCAGGACUCACCGGGAGCCACCAAAUCCGGUUCGACCCCGCUUUCUGCGGGAUUUGAUUUUUCCGAACCCCUUUUUAGCCCUUGGAGAACCCCCUGCGACCCUCUCUUCCAUCUACGCGCGUUGGUAGCCAACCUCGCAGCUCCCCGUCGCCGUGUUGGAUCUCGCCGAAACAGAAACGGAGCCGCCGCCGCGACCGACCUCCUCCGUCCCUUUCCAGCCCGAGGAAACCCUCUGCGCGGCUUCGGAGUAAGCUCCUCUCUCCCCUGGCGGUUUCCUUUCAUCCAGAGACUCUCGGGAACGCGAGAUCGAGGAGCUCCGGCAAGCUCCUGGGCGCCGGCCAUGGCGUCCGCCGUGGAGGGCUCGCCGCCGGUCGGCCGGAUUCAUCCCCAAGCCCUCCCAGCCGUCCAAAUCACGAUCGACGCUCAAGAUUAGAAGUUACCCCUUCGGGGCGAAAAUUCUUAAAGAAACCCUCGGCUUUCUCUUAUUUGCUCCGCGGUCCUUGGCGCCCCAAGUAGGUUUACGCCUUCCAAAUUCAGAAAGCGUAUUCUCUGCCGGUUAGACUAAAAUACUGUAAUAUCCGAUUUUAAGGACAAAACCAGAUAUGCACCAUAUGUGAGUUUUAGAAGUCAAAUCUCACAUAUAGCUACAAAUAAAGGGUAAUAUCAUAAGACAAUGAGUAAAUAUAUAACGUACUCAGUAUAAAAGAUAUAACCUUUGAUAUCAAACAGCGGACAGACAACUCCAAACUUCGGGUAUUAACUUCACUCCACAGGAUCCAACGGACUGGUUGAUCACAAGCCUAAACUCCUCCUGAAGUUUGGGGGAAAUAGCAAGAGUGAGUCCAUGUCGAACUCCACAAGUAUAGCAAAUAGAUUGUAUAGCUCCCACAAUCUCAUGAUCGAUGUGACAUAAAUAAUGUAAAGCAUUAAACAAUAAACAAUGAGCAUAUUUAACACACAAGAUUCAUCACCCUUAAUGUAGAUGUCCCCAAGGCCGCUCCUGUCCGUGAGCUCGGCUAGUAUACUAGUUUUAACACUCUGCAGAGGUUGCACAUCUUUACCCAUGAGUCAUGAUUUACCCUUUCGCCCGAGGUGAUCAGCCUCUUAACCCACUUCCAAGGAAGGUUGGCAGGGAUCACUAUGAAGCCUUUCAAAAGUUCGUCUAACAUGUUAGGGCCGCAAGGUUUCCUUUGCGCGCAGAUAUAGAUACCCCCCUUCCGAAUGGCACAAUGACGCGCAGCCUAUACACAUAGGGACAGGGGCUCGCACUAUACCCAAAACGGUUCAGCCCCUCCGUCCUUUCGGGUAACCUCUAACAAGCUAGAAAAGGUCUUCAUACUGAGCUAAAGCCAGAGCCAUUAUAGCCCUCAUGGUUGCACUGUUGUCCCGGGUGAUCACGUACAGACAAAUCAUCAAGUUGCUAAAAAGUCAUUUUUAUCAUUUAUUACUUAACAUUAAUCUAGUCACAGGAUCAUGGUCACAGAAUUAAAAUCCAAAUGCUAUACUUGCCUUAAACCAAAUGCUCUUGCUGAUCUUGAUCACUGAAGCACUCUUGAUCACCACGAAUUGCUCACCGACUAAUUCCGAUCAUCGAUCACAAACAUACGGCAACAAACAUACACGAAGCAAACAAGGCUACAAUUAGAACAGUACACCAAUCAUAUAAAAAUAGUAUGAAAAGUUUAUAAAAAGAUUCUACACAUCACUACGAUCACACGAACGUAAAUAUCACGAAAAUCGAAGCUAAAACGGAAAAUUUAUGAAUUUUCUAAGAUUUUAUAUAGAAAAAUAAUUGAUUAAAGUCACGAAAUUAUAAAGUUUCAAACUGAGAAAACAGUGUUACUAACAUGUAGAUAUUUUAAAGACGAGUCUAACGCAAUUUGAAUGGGUCAAAACGGAAUUAAAAUGAAUAUUUUAUGACCAAAAGAAAAUCAGUGGCAAACUUGUAAUUUCCUGAGCGAUUAGUGCUGGGCCGGUUCGGAAACAAAUAGCGUAAACCAGAUAGACGCUUUGGAGCGGGUUCAUUUGGAAAUACUUCAUAGAAAUACCUAGAUUAAGUUAAAUUAUAUUUGAGUUACAAAAUCGAGAUAAAACUAAUUUUAUUUUUUUUUUUUUGAAAAUGUAAAUUAAUACACACUAAAUAAUAUUACCGUCGAGAGUUUUAUAUUACAAAAGAAAUAGUCACAAGCUUAAUUUAUUUUAAUCAAGGGAGAUCAUAUUAAUGUUUGCUUAUAAAAUAUCAUGGCGCAGAACCUAUGUUUGCUUUUAAUUUAGAAAAGUGGUAGCAUGCACACUAAUCAAAUUAGUAGCUAAUUUAUUUAACUCAGAAACAUGUGACGUGAUUAUCACUGAAUUGGAAAGGAGGUUGGGCUGACCAUUAAUCAUUAUGUCACUUGCGGCAUGCAACGGAGCAAGCUGGCUUGAGUCCUUCCACUGGUUUGGCUUUGGAUUGCAGGAUGGUAAGAUGCAGCGACUGCUCAAAUAGAUAUCUAGUGUAGUCAGCUGAUGAGGAUUAUGCUUGAAUUAGGAUAGAUGCGUGAACUAAAAGCAAGGUUAUGCACGGUUCCUUACCAACAACAGAGAAGCACCAAAGAAGACAGCAGGCGUUGAUGACCAGACCUGCUGCUCAAACGAUUCUCCACCUCCGUGAUAAGAAUAGCGAUAGUAGAUGGAUCAGCAAUGCUGGGAUGAUAAAGAGAAAAAAAAAUUGAUUUACUACCUAGGGAUUCCUAAACCUGGGGCUUCCCUCAUGGUAGUUUUGGUGUGUGCUUAACCCAAAAAGUUGGUACAUAUAUAGGGAGAAAAACUCGUCACAUCCACAUCAAUUAGCAAUAUGGUACUAAUUGAUGUUGAAAUCUCCAUCUUUACUAAUAGGCCUAAUUAAUUAUUAAAGCCCAUUAGUAAAUAAAACAUUUGGUCUUUGAAUCAUGAUGACGUUGGAUUUGAGUAAAAUGAAGACAUUAUUAUUUUCGAAAUUAAUUAUUUUCAUGGAUAAAAUAAUUCUAGAAAAGUUCAUAAUUAGUAGUUAAGCCACGAAAAAUACUCCGAAAGCUUCGAAAAUUUGGAAAAAAUUCUCAGAGAUAUUAUAGAAUAUGAGGAAUCCAAAUAAAGUAUUUGGAGCUUAUGAUGAGAUAAUUUGGGGCAUCUAAAAUUAGAUUUAUGCUCAUAGAAAAGGCUAGAAAAAUACCCGAGAAGUUUGUAGAUAUUGCUUAAUGGACGAGAAACUUAAACGAGUGACUUAGGUUUGAAAGAAAAGAUUCUGAGAGACCCUGACCGAAAUCUUGAGCUAAGAGACAAGGAAUUUGAUUGUAGAAAAAGAUAAAUACGUGUCGAAUAAGGAAGAUCGAUCUACUAAAUGUAUUUUAAAUAUUUUUCUUACUAUCAACACACAAAGGAGCAAUAAGCAGACAUCACCCAAAAUCAUAUGCAUCAGCAUGUAUACACAACCAUGUUGCUAAGCCUUAUGAUAAACUUUAAUCUAAUGAAAAAUAUAAUUUUUUUCCUAUAUUUUCAUGAGCACAAAAAAAAAUACAAAACUAAAUCGAUUUUCAUCUAUUUUGAAAGGAGCAAAUUUUAGGGUGUUACAAAUACGCUUUCAGAUAAUUACAGAAUUGCCAUCGAAUUUGUUUUGCUUAUAAAAUGUUCAUUUUAACUCCGUUUUUGUCCGUUCAAAUUUCGUUGGAUUCGUAUUUACAAGCUCUACAUGUUAGAAGUAAUAUUUUACAGUUUUGAAACUUUUAAAUUCUGUAGUAGCAUUUAAUUAAUUAUUUCUCUAUAGGAAAUCGUAGAAAACUCAUAAAUUCUCUGUUUUAAUUCCGAUUUUCGUGAACUUUACGUUUCUGUGAUCGUAGUGCUGCGUAGAAUAUUUUGAUAAACUUUUAUAUUUGUGUUACCACUGUUUGGUGUAAUGUUCUAAUUAUAGCUUGUUUGCUUCGUGUAUGAUUGUCUGCAUUGGAAUGCGUGUUGUUGAUUGAUGAUCGAGUAUAGACGGUGAGCGGUACGUUGGUGAUCAAGACCAAGACUUUGAGGACCAGCAGGCUCAGGAGAGCUUUGAUCAAGGCAAGUAUAACUUGGGAUCAUCCUUGUUACCUAUACACACUUAACACAUUAUAUAUCAUAUGCAUGCUUUCACCUUGAUGACCUUAGCAAAAUCAUAGAUGAUUGUUAUUCUGAAUUUCUUGUUACCUAUUUAGAUAUGCAUUUGGGUAGUCUUGCUAGUGCUUGAUUAUUAAUCCAUGAUCUUGUAACAUGAAUAUUUGAAUAUACAAUAAACAAUAAAAUAAGCUUUCUAGCAACUUGAACAUAAAGGGUGGAAAGAACUCUGGCUUUUGCUGGAUUGAUCUUGACCCUCCAUAAGGACUUAUCCCUUGGCAAAAGCUAGGACAACUCGUACAACCAUGAGGGCUAUAUGGCUCUGGCUUUAGUCAAGUUUGAGUAAUUUUUCUAGCUUGUUAGAGGUUACCCGAAAGGGCGGAGGGGCUGAACCGUUUUGGAUAUAGUGCGAGCCCCUGUCCCUAUGUGUAUAGGCUGCGCGUCAUUGUGCCAUUUGGAAGGAAGAUAUCUAUAUCUGCGCGCAAAGGAAACCUUGCGGCCCUAACAUGUUAGACGAACCUUUGAAAGACUUCAUAAUGAACCCUGCCGACCUUCCUUGGAAGUGGGUUAAGCGGCUGAUCACCUCGGGCGAAAGGGUAAAUCAUAACUCAUGGGUAAAGAUGUACAAUCUCUGCAGAGUGUUAAAUCUGGUAUACUAGCCGUGCCCACGGAUACGGGCGGCCCGGAAAACUGACGGAAUAGAUGGACACUGAUGAAUGUGAAUAAUGACAAUAAAUGAUGGUUUAUUAUGUUGUUUAUAUGUGUUAUUCUUAAUUCUUGUAUACAUUGAUCAUGUGGUUAUGGGAUUUAUUAUGCUACCUUGACUUUUGCUAUCCAAUAAUUAAACAUGUUAUCCACUAUUAAAAGCUAAAUGCAGUCAAACCAGUGUCAGCUAUUUGAGCCUCAUGAACCCGUGGUUAUACUUGUUGAGUACGAUAUGUGCUCACUCUUGCAAUUUCCCAAUACCCCAGGAUAUGAUAAUGAAGAUGACUGGAAUGAGGAUUACCGUUAUGAGUACUAGACUUGGAGUCAACCAGUCAAUGUUGUCCCUGUGUGGAGCUUCCGUCGAGAGCGUUGUUUACUUCAUGCUAUCAUUUUUGUAUGAGACUAUGUGAUUUAUUAUUGUUCCGCUAUGUAAUAAACACUGCAAUGGUACAUUUGAGAUUUGUCUACUUAUGUGUGCGACUAUUCCUGGGGCACAUAUGAGUCUUUUAUGCAUCCUAUUUUGUUCUUAAAAUAUGGGUGUGACAAAUUGGUAUCAAAGCUUUGUUGACUGUCGGACGCAAGCCUAGUUAGAAAUUGGCCGUCUUAAGGUUUUAAAAUUGCUAUAAAAUCCUUGCUCUAUAAACCUUGAUAUUUUCUUCUACACUAUAUCCUAUUCAUCUUCACCUUGUUGCUUAUUUUAAAGACUUGUUCUCAUCCCCACUCCUUGUUUUGAAUAUGCUUUUAGAACUCUUCUUACCACCUUCUAACAUCAUUGAAAUAGGAGUUAUAGGAUCUUUACCCUUAAUAGGAAGAGAACGAUAGUACGGUAAGUUGAGUCAAUGCUUGAAGUGUGAACCUUUGAUGCUUGGUUUGGUUUGUUAUUAUGCCUAUGUUUGAUUUGGAUCUUUGUAAUGAGUGUAAUGAUCUUAUGGAAUUUUCUCCAUAAUUUCAUUUAGUCUAUAGGCCUAAGGCAUAAGGAUUAAUGAACUAAAUAGUGGGGUUUGGUUAAAAUUCUGCUUCUAUCUCUUACUGUUUUCUGGAGCAGUCUGCAGUAAAUCUGGUAUAUCUCAAAUUCAGUUCGUGCAAUGUUCAUCAAAUUUUUCUGGGAACCACUAGACUUCAUGAUCUUUCCAAUGCAGCAAGAAUGAAAUUAGUAUCUAUUAUGGUCUGUGAGAUAUAACCGUUCAAAGUUGAGGUUUCUGCGCAGUCUGGAAUUCUGGAACAGUCUCAGUUGUACCCAGUUUUUGAUUAACCUAACUUUGGAACCUGUUAAUAUGAUCUAAACGAAAGUUGUAGACAAUUUCUUUAUUUUUCCAACGGUGUACAACAUGUAUCCUUUUGAAUUCUGGAACUUGAGAUAUGACUGGUUUUCUGAUCUGCUGAUGUUGGAUGUUACCCAGAAAAUUUCAGAUUCCGUUAACUCUUGUAAUUGUCAUGUUGGACAUUACUAAGAUGUGUUUAUAUACCUUGGAAUGCAGAUGGCAGCAAGGGGAAGAGGCAGAGGCAGAGGCCAUGGCAAUGGCAAUGGUGGCAAUGGCCCAAUCACCGUGGAGGAACUCAUGCAAACCCAAAAUGAGAUGAUGCACGUCUUCAUGCAGCACUUACAGCAGCAACCUCCACCAACACCACCACCUGUCCAUGUGAGAGAUAAGCGUGGUGAAUUUAUGAAGGGAAGACCUCCGGUGUUUACACACUCCGCUGAUCCUCUGGAGGCAGAUGAUUGGCUUCGUGCUGUAGAGAGGCAACUGAACAUAGCCCAGUGCAAUGAUAUGGAAAAAGUGUUGUAUGCUUCUGGACAACUUCAGGGUGCAGCUCAGACAUGGUGGGAAUCGUAUCAAGCUGCUCGUCCCAACAAUGCUCCUCCUGUCAUAUAGCUGGAAUUCUGUAGAGACUUCAGAGCACGACAUAUAAAUGAGGGAAUGAUGGAGCUCAAGCAAGAAGAAUUCAGAUCACUCAGGAUGGGCUCCAUGACAGUGGCAGAAUAUCAUGACACUUUUGAGCAGUUGGCUCGUUAUGCUCCGAACGACGUCAGGGAAGAUGCUGAUAAGCAGCGUCUAUUCAUGAAAGGUCUUUACUACGAGCUCAGGUUGCAGUUGGCUGGAAACACCUAUCCUACCUUCCAGGCACUUGUGAAUCGUGCCAUUGUGCUUGAUAAUAUGCGUAAGAGUCAGGAUAAGAAGAGAAGGAUGCUGGCACAAGGAUCUGGGAGCAACAACCGUCAGCGUUUCAGUUCUCAGCAAGGCUAUCAGCAGAGGUUCCAAGGGCCAGUUAGUCAGUGGAACCGCAACCAGCAACCUCAGCGUUUCCAGAAUCAAUCUCAGAGUGGGAACCAACGUCCUUCAUUUCAGCAACGUAACUAUAAUCAACAGCAGCAUGGUCAGCAGUCACCUCGCUCAGGGAACUCAAAUGCCAACUCCACAAAAAGAAUUGCUUCUAACGCUCAUACAAGGUGUUUCCGUUGUGGGAAAGAGGGACAUAUGUCAUAUGAUUGCCCGAAGAAGCUCAACAAGCCGAACAACAACCAGAAGUCUACUGCUUAUGCGGCAACAGUGAAUAAUGUGGCUACAGAGACAGUUCAGGAGGGACCAGAGAUCAUGAUGGGUACGUUCAGCAUCAACUCUAUCCCUGCUACAGUUUUAUUUGAUUCUAGAGCUUCGCAUACAUUCAUAUCACAAGCAUUUGUUAGAGUUCAUAGGGUUCCACUAGUUGCAAUGAAAACCCCUAUGCUAGUUAAUUCACCGGGUGGGACUAUACCAGUUUCUUUAUGUUGCCCCUCAGCAAGUCUUUCUUUAAGGGGGGUAGAUUUCCCUAUCAGUCCCAUGGUUAUGAGAACUUCAGGCAUAGAUGUGAUCUUGGGUUUGGAUUGGAUGAAGCAACAUGAGACAAAUAUUAAUUGCAAAGAGAGAGUAGUGGCUCUGACAACACCAAAGGGAGAACGAAUCAGUGUUAAUGUAACAGUGCAAGCACCACUCACAGCCAAAGUGAACCAACUGAAUGAUGAUGUUGAUCCUCAGAAUCUGGUAGUGGAUGAGUUUCCGGAUGUCUUUCCAGAUGAAUUGCCAGGUAUGCCACCUGACCGAGACAUUGAAUUUAUUAUUGAAUUACUACCUGGUACUGCACCCAUAGCUAAAAGACCAUAUAGAAUGGGGGUUAAUGAACUAGAAGAACUUAAGAAACAAAUUAAGGAAUUGCAAGAUAAAGGGUUCAUUCGUCCUAGUUCAUCACCAUGGGGUGCACCAGUUAUCUUUGUUGAUAAGAAGGAUGGUAGUCAGAGGAUGUGUGUUGAUUAUCGGUCACUUAAUGAGGUCACUAUCAAGAAUAAAUACCCAUUGCCUAGGAUUGAUGACUUGUUUGAUCAACUAAGAGGUGCUUGUGUGUUCUCUAAGAUUGAUUUGCGUUCUGGUUAUCAUCAAUUGAAGAUUCAGAAUUCAGAUAUACCAAAGACAGCUUUCACAACAAGGUAUGGGUUGUAUGAGUAUACAGUUAUGUCUUUUGGUUUGACCAAUGCACCAGCUUACUUUAUGUACAUGAUGAAUAAAGUAUUUAUGGAGUAUCUUGAUAAGUUUGUGGUGGUCUUUAUUGAUGAUAUUCUGGUAUUCUCUAAAACCAAGGAAGAACAUGCUGAACACCUAAGAUUGGUCUUACAGAAACUUAGAGAACAUAAGUUGUAUGCUAAGCGUAGUAAAUGUGAGUUUUGGUUGGAGGAAGUUUCUUUUCUCGGUCGUGUUGUCUCUAAUGGUGGUAUUGCAGUGGAUCCUAGUAAGGUGAAAGAUGUGUUGAACUGGAAACCACCUACAGAUGUAAGUGAAAUUCGCAGUUUUCUUGGUUUAGCUGGUUACUAUCGUAUAUUCAUCGAAGGGUUCUCAAAACUUGCCAAGCCUAUGACUGCUCUGUUGGAGAAGAAUGCGAAGUUUGUAUGGUCUGAUAAGUGUCAAGCUAGUUUUGAGGAGUUUAAGAAGAGAUUGACUACUGCACCUGUGUUGGUAUUACCAGAUCUGAGUAAGAGUUUCUCUAUCUAUUGUGAUGCUUCUCGGCUGGGUUUGGGUUGUGUUCUUAUGCAAGAAGGUAGAGUUGUUGCUUAUGCAUCUAGACAGUUGAGGAAACAUGAACUGAAUUAUCCUACUCAUGAUUUGGAGUUAGCAGCUGUGGUUCAUGCAUUGAAGAUUUGGAGACACUAUUUGAUUGGGCAUAAGAGUGACAUAUACACUGAUCAUAAGAGUUUGAAGUAUAUCUUCACCCAGACCGACCUGAACUUGAGGCAACGAAGGUGGUUGGAACUGAUAAAGGAUUAUGAUUUGGAAGUGCAUUAUCAUCCUGGAAAGGCGAACGUCGUAGCUGAUGCACUUAGCAGAAAGAAAUAUGCUAAUGAGCUUCGGGCGACACCUGAAUCUGAGGAGUUGUGUGCUGAAUUUGCAUAUUUGAACUUGGGGAUUGUAGUAAAUGCUAUGGAAAUUGAGGUCGCUCCUACUCUAGAGGAAGAGAUAUUGAAAGGACAGUUAGAAGAUGAGAAACUAAAGGAGAUAGCACAGAAUGUGGUACUAGGCAAAGCACCAGGAUUCAGAAUAGAUGACAAUGGUGUAUUGUGGUUUGGAAAAAGAAUAUGUGUUCCUGAAGUGAAGGCUAUUCGUGAUAUGAUUCUGAGAGAGGCUCAUGAGUCAGCAUAUUCCAUUCAUCCUAGUAGUACUAAGAUGUAUCUAGAUCUGAAACAGAAGUAUUGGUGGUACGGGUUGAAGAGAGAUGUAGCUGAGUAUGUUGCUUUGUGUGAUACUUGUCAGCGAGUGAAGGCUGAACACCAGAGGCCAGCUGGACUGUUGCAACCAAUGAAGAUUCCUGAAUGGAAGUGGGAAGAAGUAGGCAUAGAUUUCAUAGUGGGUUUACCUCGUACACAGAGAGGAUAUGAUUCAAUAUGGGUAAUAGUGGAUCGAUUGACUAAAGUUGCUCACUUCUUGCCAGUCAAAACCACUGAUUCAGGAGCUCGACUAGCAGAAUUGUAUAUGGAGCGGAUAGUUUGUUUGCAUGGGGUGCCUAAGAAGAUUGUAUCUGAUAGAGGCACUCAGUUCACCUCUACUUUUUGGAAAGCAGUGCAUGAUUCCUUGGGGACAAAGUUGAAUUUUAGUACAGCAUAUCAUCCACAGACAGAUGGACAGACUGAGAGGAUCAAUCAGAUACUGGAGGAUAUAUAAAGAGCUUGUGCUUUGCAGUAUGAAACUAGUUGGGAUAAGAGUUUGCCAUAUGCAGAGUUUUCCUACAACAACAGUUAUCAGCAAAGUCUUAAAAUGGCACCGUUCGAGGCACUGUAAGGCCGUAAGUGCAGGACACCUUUGUUUUGGAAUCAGAUAGGAGAGACUCAGGUAUUUGGUACAGAUGUGCUUAGACAUGCAGAACAACAAGUGCGGGCUAUCCGGGAUAAUCUGAGAGUUGCUCAGUCUCGUCAGAAAAGUUAUGCAGAUACACGUAGGAGAGAACUAGCUUUCGAGGAAGGCGAUUAUGUCUAUCUGAAAGUGUCACCUAUGCGGAGUGUGAAGAGGUUUAAUAUGAAAGGAAAGCUAGCUCCAAGGUAUGUUGGCCCGUUUAAAGUUUUGCAAAGGUGUGGAGAAGUAGCGUAUCAGCUAGAGUUGCCUGAAAGUUUAUCUGGUGUGCCUGAUGUGUUCCAUGUGUCACAACUUAAGAAGUGUUUGCGUGUACCUGAGGAGCAAAUACCAUUGGAAGAGCUUUCUGUUAAAGGUGAUCUCACUUAUGAAGAGUAUCCGGUCAGGAUAUUGGAGACAACUGAAAGAGUCACCAGAAGUCGGGUGAUUAGAAUGUGCAAAGUGCAGUGGAAUCGGUAUUCAGAAGCGGAAGCAACUUAGGAAAGAGAGGACGAUCUGAGGAAAUCAUAUUCAUAUUUAUUUGAGUAAGCCCUGUUCAAUCUCGAGGACGAGAUUCUUUUAAGGGGGUAGAGUUUGUAACACCCAAAAUCUGAUUUUCAAGUAAUAGGAUUUAAUUUGAUUAAUUUGAAUAUUUUGUGAGCAUUUAAAUUAGUAAACAAAUAAAUUUUUGGUUGAAAUUAAAAUUCAUCAUAAGAUUAGAAACAUGUUUUGUGUUCAUGCUGGAGCACAUCUUAUUCUAUGCUUGCUGUUUUUUUUGUGUGAGAAUUUAUUUGCAUUCAAAACAUCUUUUUGAAAAGGCUUUGGAAAGUAAAAUAAAAAAAAAAGAAAAGAAAACCCCAGCCAACCCCUGGGCCCAAUCCCCCUCACUCGGCCCAUUCCCACUCCCGGCCCGCGCGCGCACACUGAUCCCCUCCCUCUCUUCUUCUCUGGCCGACAGCCAGGGGUCCCGUACCUCUUUCACUGAUGCGUGGGGUCCACGUGACAGCGCCCUGGCUUCCUUCCUUUCUUCCUCUCGGGACCGAGCAGGACUCACCGGGAGCCACCAAAUCCGGUUCGACCCCGCUUUCUGCGGGAUUUGAUUUUUCCGAACCCCUUUUUAGCCCUUGGAGAACCCCCUGCGACCCUCUCUUCCAUCUACGCGCGUUGGUAGCCAACCUCGCAGCUCCCCGUCGCCGUGUUGGAUCUCGCCGAAACAGAAACGGAGCCGCCGCCGCGACCGACCUCCUUCGUCCCUUUCCAGCCCGAGGAAACCUUUUGCGCGGCUUCGGAGUAAGCUCCUCUCUCCCCUGGCGGUUUCCUUUCAUCCAGAGACUCUCGGGAAUGCGAGAUCGAGGAGCUCCGGCAAGCUCCUGGGCGCCGGCCAUGGCGUCCGCCGUGGAGGGCUCGCCGCCGGUCGGCCGGAUUCAUCCCAAAGCCCUCCCAGCCGUCCAAAUCACGAUCGACGCUCAAGAUUAGAAGUUACCCCUUCGGGGCGAAAAUUCUUAAAGAAACCCUCGGCUUUCUCUUAUUUGCUCCGCGGUCCUUGGCGCCCCAAGUAGGUUUACGCCUUCCAAAUUCAGAAAGCGUAUUCUCUGCAGGUUAGACUAAAAUACGCUUUCAGAUAAUUACAGAAUUGCCAUCGAAUUUGUUUUGCUUAUAAAAUGUUCAUUUUAACUCCGUUUUUGUCCGUUCAAAUUUCGUUGGAUUCGUAUUUACAAGCUCUACAUGUUAGAAGUAAUAUUUUACUGUUUUGAAACUUUUAAAUUCUGUAGUAGCAUUUAAUUAAUUAUUUCUCUAUAGGAAAUCGUAGAAAACUCAUAAAUUCUCCGUUUUAAUUCCGAUUUUCGUGAACUUUACGUUUCUAUGAUCGUAGUGCUGCGUAGAAUAUUUUGAUAAACUUUUAUAUUUGUGUUACCACUGUUUGGUGUAAUGUUCUAAUUAUAGCUUGUUUGCUUCGUGUAUGAUUGUCUGCAUUGGAAUGCGUGUUGUUGAUUGAUGAUCGAGUAUAGACGGUGAGCGGUACGUUGGUGAUCAAGACCAAGACUUUGAGGACCAGCAGGCUCAGGAGAGCUUUGAUCAAGGCAAGUAUAACUUGGGAUCAUCCUUGUUACCUAUACACACUUAACACAUUAUAUAUCAUAUGCAUGCUUUCACCUUGAUGACCUUAGCAAAAUCAUAGAUGAUUGUUAUUCUGAAUUUCUUGUUACCUAUUUAGAUAUGCAUUUGGGUAGUCUUGCUAGUGCUUGAUUAUUAAUCCAUGAUCUUGUAACAUGAAUAUUUGAAUAUACAAUAAACAAUAAAAUAAGCUUUCUAGCAACUUGAACAUAAAGGGUGGAAAGAACUCUGGCUUUUGCUGGAUUGAUCUUGACCCUCCAUAAGGACUUAUCCCUUGGCAAAAGCUGGGACAACUCGUACAACCAUGAGGGCUAUAUGGCUCUGGCUUUAGUCAAGUAUGAGUAAUUUUUCUAGCUUGUUAGAGGUUACCCGAAAGGGCGGAGGGGCUGAACCGUUUUGGAUAUAGUGCGAGCCCCUGUCCCUAUGUGUAUAGGCUGCGCGUCAUUGUGCCAUUUGGAAGGGAGGUAUCUAUAUCUGCGCGCAAAGGAAACCUUGCGGCCCUAACAUGUUAGACGAACCUUUGAAAGACUUCGUAAUGAACCCUGCCGACCUUCCUUGGAAGUGGGUUAAGCGGCUGAUCACCUCGGGCGAAAGGGUAAAUCAUAACUCAUGGGUAAAGAUGUACAAUCUCUGCAGAGUGUUAAAUCUGGUAUACUAGCCGUGCCCACGGAUACGGGCGGCCCGGAAAACUGACGGAAUAGAUGGACACUGAUGAAUGUGAAUAAUGACAAUAAAUGAUGGUUUAUUAUGUUGUUUAUAUGUGUUAUUCUUAAUUCUUGUAUACAUUGAUCAUGUGGUUAUGGGAUUUAUUAUGCUACCUUGACUUUUGCUAUCCAAUAAUUAAACAUGUUAUCCACUAUUAAAAGCUAAAUGCAGUCAAACCAGUGUCAGCUAUUUGAGCCUCAUGAACCCGUGGUUAUACUUGUUGAGUACGAUAUGUGCUCACUCUUGCAAUUUCCCAAUACCCCAGGAUAUGAUAAUGAAGAUGACUGGAAUGAGGAUUACCGUUAUGAGUACUAGACUUGGAGUCAACCAGUCAAUGUUGUCCCUGUGUGGAGCUUCCGUCGAGAGCGUUGUUUACUUCAUGCUAUCAUUUUUGUAUGAGACUAUGUGAUUUAUUAUUGUUCCGCUAUGUAAUAAACACUGCAAUGGUACAUUUGAGAUUUGUCUACUUAUGUGUGCGACUAUUCCUGGGGCACAUAUGAGUCUUUUAUGCAUCCUAUUUUGUUCUUAAAAUAUGGGUGUGACAUGAUUUCAGUUAUUGUUUUAAUUAGUUAAUCCAUUGGCUAAUCUAGGUUUUAACAAUGAACAUGUUUCUAAUCGAAAUUACGUCAACAACUUCGCAGUAAAAAUCUUUAUUUCAUAGAGAAGAGUCAAUAGUUCAAACGUCAAACGCGAAUAAUAUUGUAUCUAUUAUUUGUUUUUAUUUUUUGUAGAAAAAAUACUUGAGCAGAUAAAAGGAUACUAUCAAAAAAAUCCAAAACUAAAAAGAGUAGAUGGAAGCCAAAAGAAAAUUCUGACUGCUGAACUACACACGAACACAAACCAAAGAAAUGAAAAUUAGUAAAAGAUUAGAUCCAAACUGAAGUGGACUUUGAAAAGAGGAUUAUUGCUAGUUAAAAAACCAGAAUCCAUAUAGAGAUCAGAGUUGGACGAAAAACAAUUAUGGCAGAAAUUUUGUCUUUUUAUUAUUAGGUAAAGGUAUAGAUUGUGUAUCUUCUUAAAUGGACCAACAGUCUCUAAAACUUACUUAGUAUUUUUAAGAGAUAGAGCCACUUUUUACCGCCUCCGUAAAUCAGAAGUACAGUCGUUUCUCCUCUAAUCAUUUCUUUAGGAGAGACACCAAACGAGAGGCAAGUGCAAUAUCACGCUGGCUAUGCGAUAAUGGUUGGGUGUCUUAUUCUAUGCCCAUUGGCUGCGAAUCUUGUAAGUUUAAUCAUUCAUUGUAGUUUUCCUUACAUGUGUAAAGGUUAAUAAAGAGGAUGAAAAUGAUGUAUAUAUAUUAAAACAAUUGUCCCUUUACACGCUUUUGCAGUUUAAUUACACCAAGCAAGGCAUAUAUAUAUAGAGAGUGCCGCAUAUACUCAUUGUUUGUGAGGAUAAUUCUCACGUGAAUCGAUAACAUGGUGGUGGACGUCGUUAACCACGUGGUGCCUAUCAAUUUCGACCAUCCUUUAUUUGGAUUUCGAAUAAAACGAUCACUGGAGAACGAAUAUUAUGGUCCUGAUGGGGAUAGCUUCGUUUUUCUUUUCUCUUUUGGAAUUUUUUUUUGGACCAAAGCAUGUGGUUUAGGUUGGAGCAUAUAAUGCCUAGCUGGCCUCUCUCUUUGUAGUUUGUAGGUCUUGUUUAGCAUGUACAUUAUUAAGUUAGGUUCGUACAGAUUUUGCCGUUCCAAUGACACCUUAUGAAUAUGAUUAUCUUAUAUUGCAACAACUUUAUUACUGCCUAACACCUUCAGUUUGUCACACUUAUAAACCAGUGGCAUUUGAGAGGCUAUAUAUAUGUGACAUGAUUUUCUGUACCAUGCAUGGGAUCUAACUUUUUUUUUUGCGAAACUCAUGGUAUCUAACUUUUAAGCUUAGGUUACGUUUUGUUUUACACGAUGUAAUAUUCACACACAUCACGCUAACACGUCUCUAAUGUAGGUGCCUUUCUUGUCUGAUUCUAGCAUAGUGACACACACUCACGUGGGUGUGCAUCCUAGGCCUUGUUUUCUUACCACAAAUUUUGCAAAAUUUUUCACAUUUCUCGUCAUAUCGAAUCUUACGGCAUAUGCAUAGAGCAUUAAAUAUAGAUUAAAAAUAACUAAAUUGCAUAGUUUACCUGUAAUUUGCGAGACGAAUCUUUUGAGCCUAGUUAGUCCAUGAUUAGAUAAUAUUUAUCAAAUACAAACGAAAGUAUUACACUGUCUAUUUUGCAAAAAAAAACAUUUGUAACUAAACAAGACCCUAGCACAUACGGGUAAACAAAGUUUUUAAAUUUUGUUGUAAACUAUUGUAUUAUCUCUGUUAAAAAAAUAUAAUUCUAGAUGUAUACUAAGGUAAAAUGUCUAAGUUUGACCAAAUAAAAAAUAUCAAUAUCUAUAAUGGUAAAUAAAUAUAUUAGAAAAAUAUUUUAUGAUGAAACUAAUAGUACUUCUACCUAUUUAUAGUACAACAAAUAUAAGUAUAUAAAUUGGUCAAACUUGAUAAACUUUAACAUAAUAUAUUAUACUCAUAUUCUGUAACCUAUUUGUUGUGAUGAUACAUGACUGCAGGAGAGAGUGGAGGGAAAUUGAAGCACUAAAAUUGACGGCCCUGAUUAGCAGCGUUAGUGAUACUAGUUAAUUGGCAGUAUGGCACGUUUGUUUGGCGCGAUGGUGCUCGUACGAAACGCAUGAUGACCAGUCCACACACCGAUGAUGACCAGCUAGCGUGUUCCGUUCCGUGCUCAUCAGCUGUGCUAGCUUGCUGCUCUAAGUCGUGUUAUCCUCCCUCUUUCAGUUGGGUUCCUGGGGAUGCACAUUUCUUAGGCCUUGUUUAGUUUUCAAAAAAAUUUAAUAUUCUCCAUCACAUCGAAUCUUAUGCCACAUGUAUGGAGUAUUAACAAAAACAAAAACUAAUUUGUAAUUUACGAGAUGAAUUUUUUGAGCCUAGUUAAUCCAUGAUUGAACAAUAAUUAUCAAAUACAAACGAAAAUACUACAGUAACUAAAAUCCAAAAUUUUUGCCAACUAAACAAGGCCUUAAUCCGUGUUGGAUUAGGGCUACACGAUUGCUUUACUAAACAAGGCGUGUCCUGCAUCCUGUCACACGGUUGCUUUACUUUGCUUGGGACGUUACGUCACUCGUGCUAGCUUUUGCUGUUCAUCAUGAGCAGAGAAUAUCGAGCUAGAAAGUGCUGGCUGGCAUGCAUGGCUCCCUCGGUCGCGGAGGACCAUGCAUAUGCGCCAUCAAACUUUCGAGAUAGACAACACAGCGUUAGUACAGUGACGUUUUGUACUGGCUGUCAACAAUGGUUUGGGCUGUGUUCGUGGUUUUUACCGCGCGCCAAAUGCAUUUUUACUAGCUAGUACCUAGUAGUAUAGCUAUCAAAACUAUUUUCACAAGUGCCCAUCGAUGUAAAAUUAAAGACGUUGAUGACUUUAUGUCAAGUGCUAACAUAUGUGAAGUCAAAGAAAACAAAGUAAUUUGAUCCAGAAACCAUAAGCAUGUGUUGGUUGGGUGGCUAACUCCCAAUCAAACUCUAGAUAGCUACCUUCUAGCUAUUUGGUUGCUUUUAAACAGCCCAAAGCCAGACCUAGAUAAGCCACUUUAGAGGUCCUAGCCUGGCUCUAGUAAAAUGAGAUGGGGGUCCAUUUUUUGCUAGCUAGGCCUGGCUAAGCUGCGACCGAAGUUCUCGUCACCUCUUGGCAGCGCCACCUAUUCCGACUCCUCCGACGAAUGCCACCACCUCCUCCACCAGAUUGGCCAGCCGCUCCCCUCCUCCCCCGCCCCUCCCCUUCCCGCAAAGGAACCGGCCAUUCCACGGCAUGCGGCGGCGGCCGUGGGGCAAGUACGCGGCGGAGAUCCGCGACCGGGGGUCGCGGGGAAGCGUCGCUGGCUCGGAACCUUCGACACCGCCGAGGAGGCCGCCGCCGUCUACGACGCCGCCGCGCUCUGUAUCCGCGGCCGCCGCGCCGUCACCAACUUCCCCUCCUCCCCAGCCGCCGUCGCGCUGGCGCCUGCCCUUGCCAUGCCUUGUUCCACACCGUCCCUAGCCCCUGAGGCUGAGACCUCCUCCGCCUCGACGGUGGUCGAUACCGGGGCUCACCGGCUUCAUCUGCUGCAGCUCGCGGCCGAAGAGAGAGGAGCGAGCUCAUCGGUUGCUGUCUGGGUGGAAGGAGGGGGACUCACAUCUGCGAGGCGUGAGUGAUCUCGAGCCUGACCUCCUCUGCUCCUUCUGUAGUACUCCCUCCUCCCCUACUUUCUAGAUAGUGGAGGAUUUUAUGGUGGUGAUGUUGUAAGCCAUGAGAGCAGGAUUGAAGCAGAGGGCCGUCACCAGUUGUCGUCGAGAGGAACAAGGUGAAGGAGGUAAAAUCACCAUCGUAGAGAAGCUAAUCCAACCAACCAAACAAAAACUAAUUAACUUAGCCAGGCUUAGCUAGCACAUGACAAACCAAACACUACUAGGGUGGCUUAACUUGGACAGGCUAACUCAAAUCUGGCUUAUCUUUCUAGCCAGGCUAGUUGGAGCCAAGGGCGAAGCUGAAAUAGAAUUUAUGGUGGUGCACACAAGCAUAGCCUUGUAGUAACAUCACCAUUUGAGAGCUUAUUAACAUGGUGAAAAUAGGUUACUUAAUGCUACACUAUUUUUCUACCAUGGUGCUCGUGCACCACUAUAGAUGAACGUGGCUUCACCUCUAGCUGGAGCCACACAACCAAACACACCCAAUAUAGACUACAAUAUGAGAAAACUCGGGUGGCUAGCUUUUUGAGCUCUGGAGUAUCCCUUCUGCCCACACAAAAAGUUCUCCAGUGGGCCUUUGGGUCGAAUGCUCCAGGCAGGCUAAGCUGGGCCACUCGGCGGUGCAAGCGGGGAAGGAAGAGUGGACGGAAAUGCCGGCCGGCAGCAUGGGAAAAUCGGGCCAGAGAAGAUUUCAGACCGAGCUGGCCGGGCCACUGGGCCGUGAUGUCGGGAAAUCAAGAAAGGAUACGGUAGUAGCACUGGUCUACAUUUAUUAGACGUAUGCAUUUCUGUAGCUCACAGUCGGCAUUUUCAACGGCUCAGAAGUUCGAAUUCCAGAAAAAUUUUUAAUGAUAAUAUAACGACAUAUACUCCAGUAUAGCCCUAUAUAUACUCCAGUAUAGCCCUAUAUGAACUUGGUGGUAAUAUAACCUUAACGGAUGCCACGAGUAAUUUUUUCUUGAUGCAAUAUAAUAAAAUUUUUACAACCGAGAACAAUAGAGUUUCAUCAUGGCUAUAUUCACAACUACCAACUAUUUUUAGAACAGUGCAACACCAAACUCUACCAACUAUUUUUAGAACCGUAGCAACACCAAACUACUCUCGCAUCGAAGAGUCAAUAAUAACACACAAUUGCCCACUAGUUGUGGCAAUAUUACGUGUACAUGCAGCCACCAUUUCAACCGUACUGACAACACCUAUCUCCCACAACAGAGCAUACGACUAACGCCACAUGCCAUUUUGGUGGCCAUAAGGCCCACAUGUGCUUCCAAUAUAUGAUAUCAGUUAAGUUGUCAUAGAACCCCAUAUUGUAACUAAAUGUGUGGUUUUGUGAAAACAAGUGGUGCUAGAAGGGUCAAAUUCUUAUAGUGAUACUUCAAAACACUCAAGAAAGUAAGUUCAGCAAGUGUGAGUUUUGGCUCAUAAAAGUUUCUUUUUUGGGUCAUGUCUUGUCUCACAAUAGAGUGGUCGUCGACCCAAGAAAGAUUCUCGAUGGUGCCUGACUAUGAGUCGGUGGCAUGUGCAUCCCCAAGUGCGACCAUGAUGAUGGCGGCGACCGCACGCCCACCCUAUGGACAACGGCGAUCCAUGGUGACUACGUCAGUGCCACAAGCCACAAGGUGGGUAGCCUCGAUCGAUGAUGACCAGAGUACGCAUGAGGAGUCGACAGGAACUUGCUUGUGGUGGGGACGGUGAGCCACAACGCUGCUGCAUGGACGAUGAUGCCAGCCUCAAGGUAGUCUGCUGCCAUAUCCUUUAGGGCUUUGGUUUGGAUAAAAUUGGGAAAAUCUUGGGGAUUCAGGGAUCUAGGGUUUUGGAUGUUGGGAAUUUGAAGUGCUUAGUGUUCUUUCUUUCAAAUCGCCUCUUGCGUGAUGAUGUGACACACCACCAAAAACCAAAGGUAGGCACUAAUGUGCUUCGUAACAUGAACUAGGUAUAAACAAGAGAACUGUUGGCCCUAACUGUUAAACGGUAUUGCGUCCAGGUGCAGGAUAGCGCAGAUGCUAUUCUUGUAAUCCAAGUCAUGCGUGUGCGUGAGUCUUGGAAGAUAGAUGGGUUAGUUGAGGGUUUGUAGAUAUUCUUGUUGUAACAAACUUAUUGUUGUAAGCCACGCCGGUGGGCUGUUCCCGGCUUCUAUAUAACACAUAACCGAGACCCUGGGAGGGCAACUCGUUCAAUCAAUCUUCACAUGGUAUUCAGAGCCUCUUUCCUAGCGGAGUUAGAUCAUGGCAUCCUCUUCCGCUGUAUCGCUUGUUCCUCCUUAGGGUUCUCGCCCGUCAGCGAGAAGCUGACUCGCGCCAACUAUCAAGCAUGGAGCGCAUAGGUCCUCUCGGCGGUCAAGGGGGCGCAGCUCUACAGCUUCAUCAGUCCACGGCGGCUCCACCACCCGAGUUCCUUGAUGUCAAGGGUGAUGACAAUAAUGCCGAGCCAAAGCCCAAUCCCAAAUAUGAUAUUUGGGUUGCAAAGGACCAACAGGUCCUGAGUUUCAUCCUUUCCAAUCUUGGGAAGGAGAUCCUUGCUCAGGUGUCUUCAGAGAAGACUGCAGCCGCGGCAUGGGUCGCGAUCGAAGCCAUGCACGCGUCCCAGUCAAGGGCGCGGAUCAUCGCUACAAGGAUGGCCCUUGCAACUGCAACCAAGGGGUCCUCCUCUGUGGCAGAUUACUUCGGCAAGAUGAAAGGCCUCGCAGAUGAGAUGGCAUCUGCGGGAAAAAGCUUGAAGAUGAUGAGCUUGUCUCGUAUAUUCUCACUGGGCUGGACCUGGUCUUCAAUCCAGUUGUCUCAGCGGUGAGCGCCAGAGUGGAACCAAUUACGGUGGCGGAGCUGUACACACAGCUCACAAGCUUUGAACAGAGGAUGGAACUUCAUGGUGGAGGUUCCCAAUCGUCGGCCAACAUGGCCGCCAAAGGAGGACGUGGAGGCGGCGGCAACUUCAACAACCCUCGCAACCGCAAUGGCGGCGAUCGCGGGGGCUUCGGACGAGGCGGCAGAGGUGGUCGCGGCAACGGUGGCCGUGGCCCCAAUUUCCAGGAGGGCGUCUUCUGCCAGCUCUGUGGGAAAGAAGGGCACUCCGUCAUUAAGUGCUACAAAUGCUUCGACCCCACGUUCACUGGUCCUCCUCAGAAGAGCGCCGCGGCUGCCACAGCGUCAUACGGCGUGGACACCAAUUGGUACGUAGACUCGGGUGUUACGGACCACGUGACUGGCGAUCUGGAGAAACUCACAGUUCGUGACAAGUAUGGAGGUCAUGACCAGGUUCAUACGGCAAGUGGAAAAGGUAUGGAAAUCCAUCAUGUUGGUUCUAGUAUUUUGCGUACCCAUACUAGCAAAAUUCAUCUCAAUAAUAUUCUGCAUGUUCCACAAGCCACAAAAAGUCUCCUUUCCGUCAAUCGUCUUGCUCGUGAUAACAAUGCCUUCUUAGAAUUUCACCCCGAUCACUUUUUUAUCAAACAACAGGGGACGAGGAGGACUCUCCUUCAAGGCAGAUGUGAAGGAGGCCUCUAUCCUCUCAAGUCGGUCAAGAAUAAGAAUAAGCAAGCUCUCGGCGUUCUCAAGCCCUUCGUGUCUCAAUGGCAUCAUAGAUUAGGUCAUGCAUCUAUUUCAGUAGUCAAGCAGGUCCUUAAUCGCCAUAGACUUCCUUUUGUUAAUGAUUCAAAUAAAGACACUAUUUGUGAUGCAUGUCAAAGGGGCAAAAGCCACCAAUUGCCCUAUAUUCGUUCAACUAGUGAAUCUACUAGUCCUUUGGAACUUAUUUACUCUGAUGUUUGGGGUCCUGCUCCUGCCUCUGUUGGCCGAAAUUGUUACUAUGUGAGUUUCAUAGAUGACUUCAGUAAGUUCACGUGGAUUUAUCUUCUGCGUCACAAAUCUGAGGUCUUCCAAAAAUUUCGUGAUUUCCAGAGCUUGGUUGAACGCCAGUUUAACAAAAAAAUCUUGACCAUGCAAACCGAUUGGGGAGGAGAAUAUCAGUCCCUCAAUUCCUUUUUCAAAUGCACUGGGAUUGCACAUCGUGUGUCAUGCCCACACGCUCAUCAGCAAAACGGGUCGGCCGAACGCAAACAUAGACAUAUCGUUGAGGUCGGACUCACCCUCCUAGCUCAUGCUUCCAUGCCCCUCAAAUUCUGGGAUGAGGCAUUCCUUACAGCUGUGUACCUUAUCAAUCGGCUUCCAUCAAGAGUGAUCUCAAAUGAGACACCUCAUGCUCGUCUUCUUGGGACUCAGCCAGAUUAUACCUACAUCCGUACCUUUGGUUGUGCCUGUUGGCCCAACUUGAGACCAUACAAUGAUCGUAAACUCCAAUUUAGGUCUAAGCGCUGUGUCUUUCUUGGCUACAGUAACAUGCACAAGGGAUUUAAGUGCCUUGAUCCCUCUGUAGGCAGAGUCUAUAUCUCCAGAGAUGUGGUUUUUGAUGAGCAUGUUUUCCCCUUUGCUGAGAUGCAUCCGAACGCUGGUGCACGGCUUCGCACCGAACUAUCUCUCCUCCCAGACGUUUUACUCAAUCCCACCGCUGGUUUUGGGGACGCACAGAUACGUGACCAAUGUGAUAUUUCCAUAUCUACUAAUGAUGCUCCACAGUUUGGAGAAAUUUUGGCUGGAAUAGGUGAAGAAGACAGGAGAACUGGGCUUCAAAACGCUGAAGUGCAGCGUCAUUUCAUGUGUCCCAGCAGAGGGGGCACAGGCGCGGAGCACAGAGCAGAUCCGUCUGCAGCAACGACGGCUGAUUCGAUCGGGUCAUCCGCGGGAUCAGUUCCUGAUGCAGACGGGCAGCUGGGUGGACAGGCAGGUGGAUCCUCUACGCCCGAUCACGCCACGGCUCCAUCUUCUGCAGACGCAGCGCAGCCGCAGCCUGAUCCGAGCGUGGGGGGCACAAACUCAGAGGAGAUCUCCCCGCCCGGAUCGUCUGUGGCGACUGGAUCUGGUGGUAAGCAUGUAGCAUCUGCUCUGCCAGAAGCUCCUACCCGGCCAGUAACUCGUCUUCAGCACGGUAUUCGCAAACCAAAAGUUUAUACUGAUGGUACGGUACAUUGGGGCAUGCAUAGUGCUACUGUUGCAGGUGAACCAAGCACGGUUGAUGAGGCUUUUGGUGACAAGCAGUGGGUCGAGGCAAUGAACAGUGAGUAUGCUGCAUUGUUGAAGAAUCAAACUUGGCACUUGGUACCUUAUCCGAAAGGCAAAAAUAUCAUUGAUUGUAAGUGGGUGUAUAAUGUUAAAAGGAAGGCAGAUGGUACUAUUGAUCGAUAUAAAGCCCGACUUGUGGCAAAGGGAUUUAAACAGAGGUAUGGAAUAGAUUAUGAGGACACCUUCAGUCCUGUGGUAAAAGCAGCAACUAUUCGGCUUAUUCUUUCAAUUGCUGUUUCAAAUGGCUGGUCACUGAGACAGUUAGAUGUUCAAAAUGCUUUCCUUCAUGGCAUUCUAGAGGAAGAAGUGUAUAUGAGGCAACCUCUAGGUUAUGCUGAUCCAUCACGGCCUAACUUUGUGUGCAAGUUGGACAAGGCAUUGUAUGGGCUCAAGCAAGCACCCCGAGCAUGGUAUGCACGGCUAUGUCACAAACUUCAAUCAAUUGGCUUUAUACCAUCCAAAGCCGACACCUCACUUUUUUACUAUAAUCGUGGCAAGUACAGAAUGUUCAUUCUAGUUUAUGUAGAUGACAUCAUUGUAGCAAGCUCUUCCAUGGAAGCGACUAAAGCACUGCUUAAAGAUCUCGAGAAAGAUUUUGCCCUGAAGGAUCUGGGGGAGUUGCAUUAUUUCCUUGGGAUUGAGGUCAAGAAGAGAGAAAAUGGCCUUGUGAUGUCUCAAAGUCGCUAUGCUGAGCAGAUAAUUCGAAGGGCCGGCAUGCAUCUGUCAAAAUCAGUGAGCACACCUCUGUCCAGUGUUGAUAAGUUGAGUGCCAUGGACGGGGAUAGGCUGGGACCACAGGAUGCGACCAACUACAGAAGUGUUGUGGGGGCAAUGCAAUAUUUGACUCUGACUAGACCUGAUAUUUCAUUUGCGGUCAACAAGGUUUGUCAGUUCCUUCAUGCACCCACAAGUGUUCAUUGGUCAGCAGUUAAACGCAUACUACGUUUUGUCCAUGGAACUCUAACGCUUGGGUUGAGUAUUCGGAAGUCAGACUCAACAUUGGUAAGCUCUUUCUCAGAUGUAGACUGGGCUGGAUGUGUGGAUGAUAGGCGUUCAACAGGUGGAUUUGCAGUCUUUCUGGGGUCCAAUCUCAUCUCAUGGAGCGCAAGAAAACAGGCCACAGUCUCAAGGUCAAGUACUGAGGCAGAGUAUAAAGCACUUGCUAAUGCAACGACAGAGAUGAUGUGGGUUCAGAAACUUUUGACUGAGUUGGGAAUUCGACAUCCACCUGCAGCUCGUCUCUGGUGUGAUAACAUUCACUACAAGGAAUGGUGCUUUACAUGACGAUCACUUUGGUCAUAGACAGUCAAAAAUACGUCACAGUUAACUUGCCAUGACGAUCGAAAAAUCUGUCAUGUAUCUCACGUCAUACAUUUGCUGGAUCUAAUUGAGCCGUCAUAGAUUAGGAUAUGUGAUCGUCAUGGGUUAGUUGUCUAUCUUCUAUAACCAGCCCAGAUCCAAAGCAUAGUGAUGAAAAGAACAUCAAAAAUAAGUGCCAAAUCAUCACUUCAUCAACAUGCAUCACAACUCGUAAGAUUCACCAAACAAUAAUUCAUUCAUGUACUAGCAUGUCCACAACAGCCACAUUGAACAUCAAGCCACAGAUUGGCCUAGCUCACAACCAUUAGAGUGACCAUCACAAUAUCUAAGUUUGAACUAAAAGAUUUGAUAUCUAGGGAGUCUAAACAACUAAACAUUAGUAUUCACGAGCACUUCAAUUCACUUGCUGUCCAUAAGAUGUGCUACCUGAAAAUCAAAACAAAUAUAAGUCAGAUUUGCUAACAAAGAUUCUAAAAAGAAAUGUCAUCUAUUUAUUAGGAAGCUUUGAAACUAGUUAACAAAUUCAAUACAUAUGCUAGUCCAAAAUUCUGAAAACAGAUAACAAGUAAACAACCAACACUUUUGGCACCAAUGCAUAGUUUCAGAGUUCCAUACAGCAAGAUAAUCACAUCAUAUAAUGCUAUAAGAAUUAAUUUCAACCUUUUGUUCUAGAUCAGUAGUAACAGCAGCAGCAGACAAGAAGCACUUACUUGAAGCAAAAUCAUGGGACAGAAUUGUUUUGGAGUGUCAUGAUAGUUUCUGCAUUGGACUAUGUUUACCUAUAUACAAAUAAUAGAUAUGAAGAUUGUAUACUAUAUCGAAUAGAUGUGCCAAAUAAUAAAUUAUAGCACAUACCUUUGUUUAUUUAUCAAAGUAUUGUCCAAGCAGCCACUCGUCAAACAAAGUCACAUGCAAUUCAGUUACAAGAACUCAAAUUCAGUAACUUCAGUGUUACAAAAGUUCCAGAAAUCCGUUGAGCACAAAUCAGUAAGCAUUUCAGUUAAAUCAACCAUAAGUGCAUCAUAUCCCAGUGCGUUGAGAGCAGCAGCAUGUAGUACAUCUAGGAACUGAUGCAAUUUAGAUGAAGAAAUCCGGCUUUUAGUUUCAGAAACUACUAUACUCACAUAUAGAAAAUGGAGGAGCAGCAGGACUGGCGGCUCCUCCUUGCUUGGGGAGUUGUACGACAUGGCACGCGCAGCAGCCGGGGACCUACGUCCUUGGAGAUGAAAUCUGGAGGAAGGCCCGGAUGCCUCGGCGUCGCCACAGAGCAGCAUAACGAGGAGUAAUUAGUGUAGAACUGCAUCUGGGGCAGAUGGGGAAGAGGAUGGUUACCAGGAAGUAGAUGGGGCACUCGUCGAGGUCGGCGCGCGCGUCGUCGGCGCCCCGGUGGAAGGGCGUGAGCUUGGCAUCAAGGAUGAGGCGGCGGAGCUUCCUGAGGUUCCCAUGGCAUGGAUCUGGCUGGGGGAGAAGGGCGCGGCCACCACGUCGUGGAUCUGGCUGGAGAAGAAGAAGGGAGGUUCCCAUGGCAUGGAUCUGGCCGGAGGAGAAGGGUGCGGCCUCCUCGUCGUGGAUUUGACUGGAAGAGAAGAACGGCGGCCACCCACAUGGAGUCGACAUGGGAAGGACCAAAGGAGAGACCGUGAGAGGAUAAGGGAGGGGAUAGGAAGGAGCCGACGCUCAGUUUUCUUAUUCUAUUUUUUCUCACGUAAUAGUAACAUAUAAUCUGUCAUAGAUUAGGGACUUCCAUGAUGAUUUUUUAGAACGUCACCAAAAUUCGUCAUGUAUAGUCACAUUUGUUGUAGUGAUUGGAGCAACUUAUCUGUCUGCUAAUCCUGUUUUUCAUGCCAGGACUAAACAUAUUGAGAUCGACUUUCAUUUUGUUAGAGAAAGAGUUGCACAGAAGCUGUUACAAAUCAGGUUCAUUGCAUCAAAGGACCAGCUUGCAGAUGGUUUCACAAAACCUGUGACAACAACGCAAUUGGCGCGAUUUCGGAGCAAUCUCAAUCUAGUGGCCGGUUGAGAUUGAGCGGGGGUGUUAAACGGUAUUGCGUCCAGGUGCAGGAUAGCGCAGAUGCUAUUCUUGUAAUCCAAGUCAUGCGUGUGCGUGAGUCUUGGAAGAUAGAUAGGUUAGUUGAGGGUUUGUAGAUAUUCUUGUUGUAACAAACUUAUUGUUGUAAGCCACGCCGGUGGGCUGUUCCUGGCUUCUAUAUAACACGUAACCGAGACCCUGGGAGGGCAACUCGUUCAAUCAAUCUUCACACUAACCUUACACUAGCUUUAGUGCCAUAGUUAAAUUCACAGGAUCAUAAGGUCUAGAACUAGGACACAAGAACAAUAGAACUUGCAUGAAUGAACAAGUGGUAAUCAUACCUUCGUUUGACAGACGAUACACUAUAACUUUCUUUGAAUGGCAAAGCACAGCAGCAGGGCCUGCACACUGAAAUUUAGGACACAACCAGUUAGGCAUUUUCACAUCUAGCUGCUUAUGAUCAAUCCAACACUGCCCAAUGUUUUUUUGGGGGCAAAUUCCAUAGUCCAGCCGUCCCUGACCCCGACAUUGUUAGUUGGAGCUCUCCUGGGGGAGCUCCGGUGAUUAGUUUUCUCCAAAAUUAGUUUUCAGGGUUAUUUUUUUAGGGAGCUCUUAGAGUUGCUCAGUUGGUUCAACUAACUAAUGACAUGAUGAGCUUAAAUUAUUUUUGCAUGCAAAGAUUAGGGAGCUGCUGUGGAGAAAACUAAUUUUAGAGGAACAUUACUGAACACAGGCAACUAACAAUGUGGAGAAAAAUAACCCUAAUUGCUGGUCCUCAUGUGGAGAAUGGAGAGAGUGCACUAUUUUGGAAUGAUACUUGAAAUAAUCAAUUCCUGGCUUCUUUAGCUCCUGAACUUUUCUCUUUUGCAAAGAAUAAGCUGAUUUCAGUACAAAAAGCAUUCAGUCAGGAGGAAUUUUCAGAAUUAUUUCAGUUACCAGUGUCCCAACCUGUCGUUUCUGCAAAUGCAGGACAUUCAACAAUUGAUUGAAAAUAUGCCUCUUAGUGCUAACAAUGACAGCUGGUUCUAUUCCUAGGGAUCCAUCAUUUUUUGCUUCGACAAAGGUUUACAAAGUGCUAGCUGGACAUUCAGAGAUUCAGCCCACCUUCAAAUGGCUAUGGUAGGGAAAAUGUUAGCCUAAACAUAAAGUCUUCUUUUGGCUUCUAAUCAAUGACAGGCUUAGCACUAGAAACAUCCUGAGAAGAAGAAACAUGCUUCUGGACUCUUAAAGUGUUGUCUUGUGCAAUCACUUGGUUGAAAAAUCAGUUGAUCAUCUCUUUGUGGAAUAUCCAUUUGCAAGGAUUUGUUGGGAUAUAGUAAGCAUUGACAUUCCUGUGGGCAGAAGCUUCCCAGAGCUUACUACUCAGCUGAAGAUUCAGCUUAACUCCUAGUUUUCCAUGGAAGCCAUAAUCAUUAUGUGUUGGACUAUCUGGACAGCAAGAAAUGACCUUAUCUUCUAAGGAAUCAGUUUAAACCUGUCAGCAUGCUGACGUGUUUUCUUCAUAGAGCUCAUGCUCCUCCUUCAGCAUAGAGUGAAGACAGGACAUGAAGAACACCUAAUUACAUGGAUCUAAAGUCUGGAAUAGAACUGCUUCUGUUGUUGAUUUUCUUUUUGUCUUUCUUGUCUCUUGGAUAGCUCCCUGUUUAGCCCCCCCCCCUUUUCUCCCUGUUCUUUGUUGCUAUUUUUUCCUUUUUCGUUUACUUGUACUCUUGUUUAGACUCUAUCAUUUUUUUAUUCAAUAAAUUUCUGUAGGGGCCUUGGGAGCUGUUAGACCAAUGUUUUAACGCCGGUAACAACACAAAUAUCAGUUUUGUAGUGUUAUUAGUCUUCUGUUGAAGAUGCUCAAUAACAGGUCGCCUCGCUUUGCUUGGCUAGUAACCGUAGUAACCGCAAAUUUGUUCUGCAGUGAUCGAUUUUUUUCAAAGUUGUUCAUGGUCCUGCGUUCUACACAGAUCCCUCCACGUUCUUCCAUGUUAGCCACUGAACGGCUGGUACACCUUGAGCGCAUCCACGACGUCGGCGAUGGAACCGGCGGCGGCGGCAAUGGAGACGAGGAGGCAGGUGAAGCUGAGCGUCUGGAGGCUGAUCCACCUGGGGCUUCCACGAGGCACACGACGUUGCUUGAUGUACAUCUCGACGGGGAAGUAGACGGUGAGCGGCCAGAACGAGACGGCGCCGAGGAGCCCCGCCACGUCGCCGAAGAACGGCAGCAGCAUGGCCACGACGGUGGUGACGCACACGAACGCCGACCGCCAUGUCAGGCGGAAAAGGCUCAGGGCGAAGGGACCGACACGGAGCUCCCGGGAGAUGAAGGCGCUGUCCGGCCACGCCGCGGCGGCGCGGCGCUCGACGAAGGCGAAGAUGGGCUGGCAGAACACCUGGUACGCGCCGACGAGGUGCACGACGAUGGCGACGUUGGCGACGUCGAGCAGCCAGAAGGGCUCGUAGAAGCCGAAGCCGGUGAGCAGGUUAUCCGGCGCGUUGUCACCGAAAGCCGCGUACCCCAUGCAGCCGCACAGCAUGUAGAAGAUGGUCGUCGUCGCCACGCUGAGACGCGUCGCCUUCUGCAUCACCUUCGACUCCGACGGUGGUGGCGCCUUGAUCGUGUCCUGAUCAAGAACCAGAGCAGCAGCAUCCUUGGUCAGAAACAGGGGAAUCGAGUUGCAGAGAAUAGAACAGUAGUGCAUGCUUACUUGGAUCUCGAUGAGGAUGUUGGAGAAGGAGUAGGCGAAGGCGAUGUCGCCGAAUGCCUGCAGGGUGUGCCAGAUCUUCUGCGUCGAGGUGACGCCGGCGCCGAAGCCGAUGCUGGUGAGAGUGCCCUUGAACCCACCGUUGGCUGAAAUAGUUCAUUCAAUCGAGUCAGAAGGAACAGUAAGUAACUAAGAAUCUAUCAAUCGAAGUCACUGCAUGCAUGAGUGUCUGAACAAUCCGAAAAUCGGAAUAUCCGAUUGAAGAAGCAACAACUUACAGACGGUCUGUGCGAUUCCGAGGGACAGUCCGAUAGAAGAAUAGGUGAAGGACAUGACUGCAGCGACAAUGGAGAGCCACCAAAUCUCAUCGAAGUCCGGUAUCUGCGAGAAGAGGAUCUGCACAACGCCGAAGAGGAUCAUGUACGGGGUGCUGGAGCUCUUGCAGGGAUCCCCAUGACCGUGGGUGUGGAAGCACCCAGCUCUCCUGAUGGCCUUCAUGCUGAUGGACGACGCGAUGGUGUAGCCAAUGGCGACGCCGACGAGGUUGGCGUACUGGAUGACGCCGCAGAACACGACCUUUUUGCCGCCGAGGUUGGAGCGCACGGCGUCCAUGUACGUGUAGUUGCGCUUGCCGGUGUCGGGGUCGCCGGUCCGGUAGCACUCGGCGAGUAGGGUGGCGGUGUAGUAGGUGACGAAGGCGAAGAGGAGCAUGGCGGUAGGGCCGGCAAC
Molecule: long non-coding RNA, 78255 nt
Filed under: Sorghum bicolor (sorghum)
Lineage: Eukaryota; Viridiplantae; Streptophyta; Magnoliopsida; Poales; Poaceae
Description: long non-coding RNA (SBIC_LNC013581)
Rfam family: Small nucleolar RNA Z247 (bases 69085-69223)
Source: RNAcentral